GAACAUGCAUGAGUUUCGUCUCUGGAAGGAACCUUCGGCCGCCGAAAGUGCCGCCGAAGGUGCAUGACUUUCGGCUCUGGAGGGACUUUCAGCCGCCGAACCUGCCGCCGAAAGUGCCCUGUUCAGCCUUCCUUUGCAUGAUUUCUAUGAUUGUUUUAAGGUGUUCUAGGGGGUUUUUGGGGAGUAUUUUAGAGUCAUGUUCAUGUAUGUUUGGUCCCUCAUUAGAGUCCACCUGUGUAGGUUCGGACCCGAGGAACCGAGGACCCCAGCAGUGAGCUAGCUGCUUCAGAGUCAGCCAGAGGUGAGUAGAAUAAACCUUUAUGUUUUAAAUUAAUGAAAGUUCUAGCAUGACUCAUGCAUCACGAAUGCCAUGUGAUAUUCUAGGUUGUUUGCAUUAGAAUUCACAAAUAUGUUGCAUUGCAUUAUUUGAUGUUGAUGUGGAUGGAUGUUGGAUGAUCCUUUAGUCCUCGUAUGAUAUGAUAUGAUGAUGAUACGGUAUGGAAGACCAGUGAGGCCCAUUCUAUGCCCUUGGCACAAUGUAAGAGAAAGACCAGUGAGGCUCAUUCUAUGCCCCUGGAUCAGUUGGAAUGUUAUGUUAUGUAAGAGAAAGACCAGUGAGGCCCAUUCUACGCCCUUGGCACAAUUGGACUAUGUAGAGGACUACUGGUGACAAGUCCAUCCUUGAUGUGAUUUGUCUGUGGUGUGAUGCAUUCCAUUAUAGCAUAUGUUUUAAAUGUUUUAUUAUUCUGCUCACUGAGCUCUAGUAGCUCACCCCAUUUCCCUAAUCCCUCAGGUAUGCAGGUACAGGAUAGGCCAGGAGGUCAAGAAGAGUAAAGUUAUGUUUAUGUAAUAGUUAGAUGUGGACAUGAUGAAAUGUAAAGUAUAGUACAGUAAUGUAAUGUAAUGAUGAGUAUUGAGGUUUAGAGUUGUGCUUGACCCUAUGUGUAUGGUUAUCCCCUUUGAUACAUGAUCUAUAAAAUGUUUUUAUGAUGUUCAUGUUUAACCAAGCUUAAUGUUUGUUAUGAUACCCCAUUGGAGCAUUUGAUGAGGGCUCCAGUGUGUGGUUUAUGUUUAUGGUUAUGUGCAUGCACAGGUUAAGCUUGGUAAAGGAAGGAAAAAGUUCAAAUUUUUAUAUAUAUGUUUGAUCAUGUAUGGGAUUUAACAGGUAUACAGGAGGUAUGUUAGGCUUACUACGGGUCUCGGCGGCCUUAAGCCGAUCUGGAUCCUAACGCCGGUAGCGAUCCGAAUUUCGGAUCGUUACAUAGUGUGUCGGGACUAUUGGUGACACAUUCAUCCUUGCUGUGAAUUGUCUGUGAUAUGAUGUAUUUCAUUUGAGCAUGUUUAUUCACAUGUUUUACUGUUCUACUCACUGGGCUGUAGUAGCUCACCCCUCUCCCUUAACUCCAGUCUUGCAGGUGCAGAGUUCAGAGGGAGUUCAGCAGGGUACAAAAAGAGUAAAGAGUGGUGUAAUAGCAUAGUGUGGACAUGUAAUCAUGUAUGGGAUUUUGCAGGUACACAGAGAGUAUAGCAAGCUUGCUACGGGUCCCGGCGACUUUAAGUCAAUCUGGAUCCUAACGCCGGUAGCGGUCCGGUUUUCGGGUCGUUACAUGAUGGGCGGCACUCCUUAUGCUUUUAUAGUGUGGGAGUGUUGCCCUAGAUGAGGUGGAGCCUUCUUUUGAAUUUUGAAUUUUGAAUCUUGAUUACUUGGGAGGCAAGUAUGUCUUCUUGAGAUUUGGCUUCCUAAACAAGCUGAAUUUUGAAUUUUAAAUUUUGAAUGUGCAUCUUCUUGAGAUUUGGCUUCCUUAAUAAGGGAAAGACUUCUUGAAGAUUUGAAAUUUGAAUUUCAAAUUACUCUGCUGAAUGUACUUUCCUUACUUGUCACUUUCCUUAUUUAUCUUCACUUCAGUUGCAACUUGACUUGGGCAACAAGCUUGUUUUCCUUCAUCCUAUUUUAGGCAGUUUUAAGAGCAUUUUCUCCAAAUUACCUCUUUACACCUUUUUCUGCAAAAUAAGAUCAAAACCACAAAAUUAAGUAGAAAAAGUGUAAAUUAACAUUAAUAACAACGUAAUAAAAUGGUCUAAAUUUUGUCUGAUCACAUGUGCAUUUUGUGCCUGCUUGGAGGCUUUUAGGAGGCUGAAUGUUAGGGCAGAAUCGGGUUCUGGCUUGCUGGAGAACCUAGGUUCGGCAGCUGAACCUGCUUGUGGAGGCAGCCUUUAGGCCGCCGAACCUGCCCCUGAAAGUUAGUGACUUUCAAAUCUGUGAAGGGGUUUAGGCCGCCGAACCUGCCCUUAAAAGUUAGUGACUUUCGGAUCUGUGAAGGCGUUUAGGCCACCGAACCUGCCCCCGAAAGUCCCCUGCCCAGCCUUCCCCUGUUUAUUUUAUAUGCAUGUUUUGGUAUGUUUUAGGGGUUUCUUGGGGAGUUUUUUAGAGUCUUGUAAAAGUUAUGUUUAGUCCCUCAUUUGAGUCCAUCUGUGUAGAAUCAAACUUGGGAGACCGUAGAGGCCUGCAGUGAGAUAACUACGUCAGUUCUAGACGAACGUCAGCCAGAGGUGAGUAGAACUGAACUAAUCUUUUGUUUUAAAGUAAUCAAGCUUUUUAAGCAUAUUCAUGCAUCACGAAUGCCAUGUGUAUGUAUUAGGUCGUUUGCAUUAGAAUUCACGAAUAUGAUGCAUUGCAUAAUUUACUGUUGUUGUGGAUGGAUAUUGGAUGACCCACUAGCCCUCGAGUAUGAUAUGUUAUGAUGUAUACGGAAGUCCAGAUUGAGGCCCAUUCUAUGCCCCUGGCAAUAUGUAAGAGAAAGUCUAGGUCGAGACCCAUUCUAUGCCCUUGACACUAUGGAUUUAUUAUGUUAUGUUAUGUUUAAGAGGAAGUCCUGAGGAGCACUCGUCGUGGGUCGGGCACUAUUGGAAUUUGUAGAGGGUUACUAGUGACAAGUUCAUCUUGAUGUGAAUUGUUUGUGUUGUGGCGCAUUUCAUUCGAUCAUAUGUUUAUUGAAUAAUUUUAUGUUCUGCUCACUAGGCUCUCGUAGCUUAUCCCUUUCCCCUAACCCCAGGUUUGCAGGAUCAGAGUUAGCUCGGGAGAGUCGGCUGAGUUGCUAGUAUAGCUUUUGUAAUAGCAUAGUUGUGGACAUGUAUUGUUUUAUGGUUGUAGAAUUGUGCUUUGCCCUAGUAUUUAUUCUUGUAAUCCCUAUUAACAUGAUCCUUAUGUAAAAGUUUUUAAUUAUGAGUCAUGUUCGAACUAAGCUUGAGGCAUGUGAUGUUUACUAUACUGGAGCAUUUGAUGAGGGCUCUAGUAUGGGUUUUAUGUUUUUCAGUUUGGAUACAUGCACAGGUUGAGCCUUGGUUCGUGGAAUGUUUAUGUUUAUAUUUUCGUGUGAUCAUGUAUGGGAUUUUAUCAGGUGUAGUAGGAUGUAUAAUAGGCUUGUUACGGGUUCCGACAAUCUUAAGUUGAUCUGAACCCUAGCGCGGGUAGCGGUCCGAAUCCCAGAUCGUUAUAAUUGCUAUGCUCUAAUCUAGAACAAAAUUAUUUGAGUGUUGCUUAAGUUAUGAAAAAAGGAUAUUCCUUGUCUUUCAAAGACUCUUCAUGCCAUAUUUAUGACUCAAAUAAUUCUGCAGUUGUGGAGCCCUAUGGGCAAGGUUAGAAUGACUGGUACUAGGUUUCCUCUAAUGUCUUAUGAUACUGUUGAAUCUGCCUGUAAAGUUAUUAUGGAUGAGUCUUGAUUGUGCCAUAAAAGAUAUGGGCACUAUAACUUGAAUUCUUUAAAGUUUAUGCAAUCUCAUAAUAUGAUUAAAGACAUGCUUGCUGUUUUUGUUUGUGAUGAGAUGUGUUCUAGUUGUCAAUUUAGUAAAUUGUAUAAAUACUCAUUUUCUAAGGAUCAAGUUAGGAGGCUACUGAAAAAUUGGAGAUUGUACGUACUAAUGUGUGUGGACCUAUGAGUGUGCCAUUCUUGAGCCAAAGUAGGUAUUUUAUCUUGUUUAUAGAUGACUUGACAAGAAUGACUUGGAUAUAUUUUCUGAGCAGCAAAAAUCAAGUUUUCGAUAUAUUUAGAAAAUUUAAAGCUUUAAUUGAGAAGUAGAGUGGUUGUGUCCUUAAAACUUUGAAGUAUGAUAAUGGUAAAGAGUACACCUCAAAGAAAUUUGACAAAUUCUAUGAAGAUGUUGGUAUUCAACAUUAACUUUCAUUCCCUUAUUCACUUCAACGGAAUAGAGUUUCUAAGAGGAAGAAUAGAAUAGUUGUUGAGAUAGCCAGAUAUAUGUUGAAAAAGAAAGAGCUACCAAAGAUGUUUUAGGCUGAGGCAAUUUAUACAACUAUGUAUUUGUUGAAUAGACAUUAUACUAGAGCAGUGGAAGGGAAAACUCCAGUUGAAGCAUAGUUUAGGUUAAAGCCUUCUACAAGUCACUUGAAGGUCUUUGGAUCAAUUUAUUACAUGCUUGUUUCUUAUGUCAAGAGGGUGAAGCUGGAUGAUAAAGCUAAUUUGGAUAUUUUUCUAGGUUAUGCGACUUCAUCAAAAGGUUACAAGAUCUACAAUGUGCAAACCAAGAAAGUGGUUGUUAGUAAAAAUGUGAAGUUUGAUAAAGGAGCCCUACUGGGACUUUGAGAAAGAGCAAGUUGUUAGAGUAACAAACUCUUUACAGCCAAGAGUUGCUUUUAGAAGCUCUAGCAAUGAAAAUACAGAAUCUAAAGAGGAGUGUAAUUCUGAUAUAGAAUCUAAAAAGAGUCUAGUUCUGAUAAUGAAGCACAUGCUCCUUAAUUCAAGUCUCUUUCUGAGAUUUAUGAAAGAUGUAUAAUAUGGCUAUGGCAGAACCGAGCAGUUAUGAAGAAGCAUCUCAAGUUAAAAAAUAGUAGCAUGCCCUGAAAAAACAAAUUGCAGCAAUUGAAAAGAAUGGAACCUAGGAAUUGUCUUUCAAAUCAAAGGUAGAAAUGCAAUUGGUGUGAAGUGGAUUUACAGAAUUAAAGUAAAUCCUGAUUGCUUUAUUUCAAGCAUAAAGUCGGGCUUGUCGUGAAGGACUAUGCUCAGCAACCAAUGAUAAAUUAUGGAGAUACUUUUGCUCCAGUUGCUAAGCAUGACACUAUCAUAUUAUUGUUGCCUUUAGCAACUCAAAAUAGAUGGCAAAUGUUUCACUUGGAUGUUAAAUCUGCAUUCUUAAAUAGUUUGUUGAAUGAGGAGAUUUAUGCGUAGCAACCUAAAAGGUUUGAAGUAGAGGGCUAAGAAGACAAAGAUACAACCUUGAAAAUGCUCUUUAUGGCUUGAAGCAAGCUCGAAGAGCUUGGUAUGCAAGAAUUGACUCACAUCUAAUCCAAAAUGAAUUCAGGAGGAGUGCCUUGUAUGUAAGCAAUGUUGAAAAUGAAUCUCAGUUAAUUGUGUCACUUUAUGCUGAUGAUACAUUGGUAACUGGUAGAAAUUCUCGAUUAUUGAAUGAUUUUAGCUGAGAAUGCAAUCUAAAUUUGAAAUAUUAAAUUUAGAAAUUAUGAGCUAUUUUAUUGGGCAGGAAAUUGAGUAAGUUGCUGAUGGUAUCCUUGUAUCUCAAAAGAAAUAUGCUCUUGAAAUUCUGAAAAGUUUUAAUUUGGGAAAAUGCAAGUAUGUGGUUGUUCCUUUUGUUGUGAAUGGAAAACUUAACAAAGAAAACUUAACAAAGACAAUAGAACUGAACCAACAAAUGCUUCAUUAUAUAGAAGUUUGGUUGGUAAUUUGCUAUAUUUGACUGCUUCCAAACCUGAUUUAAUGUAUUCAGUAAGCUUGUUAUUUAGAUUUAUGCAUUCUCCUAGUCAAUUGCAUUUUGCUGCAGAUAAGAAAGUGUUGAGAUAUUUGAAGGGUACGGCCGAAUUCGUCUUGUAGUUUCAAAGAGGAAAAGCUGUCAAGCUUAAAGGUUAUGUGAACACUGAUCGGUUUAGAAGUGUUGAUGAUUCAAAGAGCACUUCAGGCUAUGUUUUUUUCUCUUAGUUCAAGCCCUUUCUUUCGAAAUUCAAGAAAGAGGUGAUUACUCAAUCUACUACUAAGGCUGAAUAUAUUUUAGCUAUUGGUGUUGCAAAUCAAUUAAUUUGGAUUAGGAAGCUACUGAAGGAUUUAAGAACUGAACAAUGUUAACCUAUUGUUAUAUGAUGUGAUAAUAAAAUCAAUUAUUGUUAUUGCAAAUAAUUUUGUUCAGCAUUGAAGAAUUAAGCACAACAAGAUGAAAUUUCAUUUCUUAAGGGAAACAUAAAAGAAUUUAGAGAUUAAACUACUAAAUUGUAAGUUUGAUGAACAACUUGCUGAUAUACUUAUAAAAACCUUGUCGAAUGACAAGUUUGAAGAGCUAAGGAAGAAGUUUGGAGUAUCAAGGAAAAAUGCCAAUGAAUGUUGACUAAUGAGACUUUUUCUAGAUACUUAAUUGCUAAAUCUUAGUUGAUAUUUUGUUUAAAAUUUUCUUUUUACGAAUGUAAUGGUUAUAUAGCUGAUUAUAGUAUAAUUCACUAUACCUUAAUCAUGUAUUUACUUGUAAGAGUUUAUAAUAUAUGUAAUCAGUCUUGUUUUGUCUAAUGAAUCGUCAUCUCUCAUGAAGAGAAAAGAGAAGAGUUAGAAAAAUUCUGAGAAUACUCUGUUUUCUCUGUUACUAAUUUUAAAUAUCUAUUUUCAAUUUUAAAUAUCUAAUUUUAGUAUUUAUUUAUCUAUUUUUUACUCCAAUUCUCAACGGAAACAUUAUGAAUCAUUUUUGCUCAUCACAAAAUAUUUAAAAUAUAUACAGAUUUUAUAACCUUACAUGCCAAAUUCUUGUUGAAAAUUCACUCCAGUCCAAAAAGACCUUGGAUGCAGAACUUUUACUAGUAGUAGCCAAGAGUCAGGAGAGUUGAUUAGAUGCUGCAUACAGACUACAUUGAAAUUAUAUUUGCUGUAAUAUUCCCCGAGCCAAAUAAUUUUAUGUAAAAAAAUUCUUUAGAUAUGAUCAUUUAGUACCAAUUACAUGAUAAUUGUAAUUGCCAAUUGCGACAGUUGAUAGUUGUGAUUUGUAAGCCGUUUACUUCUUGUCAAAGUUUUAAAAGUUUCAGAUACAUAAAUAAGACACAAAUUCCACAUUAAACCAGAUUCAAGCUUUUCAAUAUUCUCUUACGGCAUUUUUGAGCAUUAAAUACAAAACAAUAUCUACAAAUUCACCAUGCAGAAACACAACCUUCAGAGUCACAAAAAGAUGUGUUUACAAGAAAAAAAGUUUGCUGCACGCAUCUUUUCCUGGCAAAUGGCACAAAGAUGAACUGCUGCAUACCUGCAUUGAAUAACUUGUAGGUUCAAAAAACAACUUGACGUGAAGCAAAAUAUACUAAUAAAAGCAUCGACUCCCGCAUAUACUUGCCAAUUUAGUAUUUCAGAUGCUUCUAUACAAAAUCAAACAGUGGUAACAUGAGAUAAUGGAUAGCAUAGCCAUCAAUGGACAGCCUUCUCGAUCAAAACAGAGAAUGAGUGGUAAUAUUCGAAGAUAGCGACCCCCUAAGCAUUCAAAUUUAUGUUUUCCCUUGCCAUAACGCCAUUCUGCAUUUAUAACCUGAUACCUCCCUCUGGACGAUGCUUAGAACAAUUAUAUGUCAUCCGAGCCAUGAGAAACCCCAAACAACCUAAAAUGAAGGAUGACACGACACAAAUCUUGAAAUGGUCCAAAUUUAGCUUCAGCGAAAAAAAAAAAAUCUGACAAGGGUGUUACUAUUAUCGUAUUACAAGAUAUGCAUGACAUUCAUGAAUUCUACCAACUUCAGGACGCGUCACUCCAAUAAUGACUACAUGUUCCACAGGAAAAAGUCCCCAUCUGACAAAGGAUGGAGAGAUCCAAGAAGUCUCUGAAAAAAAAAAGGCUAUAACGCUUUUGAGAGAUCCAACAAGUAGUUUAGAGGUCAAACAUGUAGGGCCGCGCUUUGGUCAUACUCAAUCCACUAGCGCAGACGAGGAUUUUGGAGCCCUUUAUUAAGACUUGAGAUCAUACAUCCCAGCAAAUGUUAAAUGUUCUCUUGCCUUUAUCUUUUUCUUCAUUGCAGAAAGAGGGCAAAAUAAUAAUUGGGAAUGAAUUUUUGUCCCAGAUGACCAGGAAAUUAUCGGUUUUUACUAUUUGCAUACCAAAAGCCAUCUUCUUGCCAUUCAAAUCCAGCAGUAAGAACGUAGCCAUCACAAAGCAGAUAACGUUAUUACCAUAUGUUCGACAAAGACCGAAGUCUUCGUACACCCGACCGGUGUACUCCUUAAUAGGGCCUACCACCAAGCCGCCCUUGACAAACGCCAGCUAGACGAAGUUAAUGACUGAUAAUCGAAAGACUUGCACCAUGCAGUCUCCAGCACAUACUCGAUACAGUUUCAACAAUAUUUUACUGCUAUUUGGUUCCGAUUGGGCUUGAAAAUUUAACUCACAACACAAGAGUAUCGCUCUCCACAUGAUAUGUUGCCCUCUCAAAAGUGGAGAAAGAAGAAAAGGAGGGGAAAGGGGGGGUUUGGCUGGCUGCGAGAAAAUUAUUCAAGUGAUUUCAUGUGAAGAACAUGAAAGAAACUGCAGGUAGCCACGGUGUCCUAUUGAAGCAGUACCGGCAGAAUACAUUCAUUUAAGACUGUAAUCCAAGCAACAUAUUUGCCAUAACCUAAACUUUAUGCAGCUACAAUCUUUAUUUCUGCAGGCAUUCAGUGAAAAAAAAGAAAAUGAAGUAUAUCAAUCUAUCCUCUCCAGUUGUCCUUCAACUGCCUCAUCUUCUGAAUAGUUUCUACAGGAGACUUGCAACCUACCCUUGCCUGUAAAUAAAGCAAAUGUUGGUAUAGGAAAGGUAGUAUGCAAAAGACAAGCUCUAAAAAGCAUACGCACAUAGGAGCCGAUGAAAAGCACAAACAAAUAAAUAUAACAAGCCAAAAAUGGCCAGAAUUCCAGUUCAAUUUGCAUGCCAAUUUCCACAAGAAAAUCACAUGGUAAAACACAAUAAUUGAAAGCAAAUCUCGUCAAUCAAAAGCAAAACCUGAAGAUCCGGAAGAUCCACACGCAUGAAUGGAUUUGUCUCCCACUCGUCCUCAAUAGUAGAUGGGAUGGUGGGAAGCCCUGCUUCCCGCUGUUGCUGAGCCCAUGACAGUUUGUGCUGUGUCUUUACAUUGUCUGGUUCAACUGUCAGAGCAAAAUGCAAGUUCUUGACUGUAUACUGCAGAAACAUAUUAUCAGAUGUAACAAUGACUUAAAAAUAAAAGAAAAAUCCUUAACAAGAAUGAUCUCGAUACAAAGUGAAUAAAAUCAGCACACUUGCACUUUUUCAGUUAAGAACAGAAAUUUACUUCUUUGGAGCACAGAUCUUCUGAUAGAGUUAGAAACUGGAAAUGAUUUAAACACAAGAAGUGGAGAAGGACUGGUCUUGUAUUAAGACCAAGCAAGAGUUUCUCAAUACAGAUUCCUUUUCUGUAUAUCAAUACAAACAGGGAAAAUAAACCAGGCGAGACUCUCCCGUUCUAGCUCAAGCUAGCCAGCAAGUAACCUCACAAAAAAAUAAGAAAAUACUCAUAUCUCCAAGUUUCAGACUAUUGUUAUUAAUACUCAUAUCUCCAAGUUUCAGACUAUUGUUAUUUAAAUACAAGAGCAUUUCUCUGAAGGACAAACCUCUCCUCGAGAAAUCCUAACAGCCUAACUAACAAUAUUCCAUUUCCUUCCCAUUUGUCUAUUUCUUCUCAGUAAAUUCCAGCUGUCCUGUACCCAAAUCUGUCCUUGGGCCUUCUUUGUUUCUGAAUUUCUUCUUUAGGUAAACCUUCAGCUGCAUUGGGCCUAGACUUACAGCACUCUUGCUAUCAUUACCUACUUCUUCAAGAGCAGCCUUGUCCUCAAGGCUGAUGUCCGGGAAUUGGUUCAAAGCAUCAGUAGUAUUCAUCCAGGUAGCUUCUACCUUCGUCUUGCCCUUCCAUUUAAUCAAAAUUUGUGGAAUUGAUUCCCCAGCUAUUUCCUUAGUCCUCUUUUGUAGUAUUGCUUCUGGCUCCACCAUUUCUUCUUCAAUUUCCAUGCCCUUAGAUAGUUUCUCAGUAGCUUGAUGAUUCCCUACCAAUUUCUUCAGCUGGGAUACGUGAAAAACAGGAAAUAUCUGUAAAUCUUCAGGCAGCUGUAAUUUAUAAGCUAUUGAAUUACUAGUGAUGACGGCCGGGCUCUGAACGUUGUUGACCAACAUAGAAGGUUUCUAAUUAGGAGGAUUCAAAUUUUUGGAAUCCUAAUUAGGCUUGAUUUAAGAUAUUUUAUUUUUAUUGUAAGCAUUCCUAAUUUAAGUUAAUUCUUUGUGUAUAAAUACUCAAACCUUAUAAAUAUCAAUUCAAUUAUAAUAGAAUCGAAAAUUUCUCUCAAAAUUUUUCAUGAUACUAGAACUUUUUUCUUAAUUUUAGGGUUUAAAUUCAAUCUUUCUCUUAGGAUUUCUAAAAUCUUAGAUCUACCUUUUUGGUGAGGAAUCUUUUUUUAUCUCACCACCAACAAAGUCGCCGGACCAUCGCUGAUUAGCUGUCCAGCGUCGCGUGAGGCUCACGCGCCCUUGGAAGAUUCUGCGUCUUUCCCAUGCGCUGGUGCGUGUGACAUUUUCCGAUGGUCUUUUUCAACGGCGAUCCUUUCUGGCAAACUCACCUUCAAGUCGCACCACUAACCUGUGUGGAUUCGUGACUUGGUUCACCUUUUUCCAGCGUAGGAGACAUUUUCUGGUGGUUUAUUCGACAAUAAUCCUUUCCGGCAAACUCGCCUUCAAUUCGUGUUUCUGAUCAGCUGGACCCGUGCCUUUUUCGCCAUGAACAGUAAUUCUUUCUUCAAUAACAAUUUUUCCAAUGUUUUUGACAAAAAAGGUGGUUUUUUCUUGAAAUUGCAUUGAAUUGUGUGGGCAGUGUAAGGACUUCUAAUAAUGCUUUUGUUUCAUCUCUUAAUUCUGCUCCAUAGAUUAUUGAUUCUGGUACAAAUAGACAUAUAACAGGCUCCUCUGAAUGCUUUCACAAUUAUCUUCCAGGUCUACAAAAAGACACUGUUAGAAUCGCAAAUAGUUCUUCCACUCCUAUAUCUGAAACCGAUUCUACUGUUUGUACUCCAAAUAUCAAGCUAUCCUCUGUUCUUCAUGUUCCUUGUUCCCCUGUUGAUCUUUUAUCUGUUAGUGUUCUCACCAAAGCACUUAACUAUAAAAUUAAAUUUUUUUCCUGACCAUUGUGUUAUUCAGGAUCUUCAAAUUGAGAAGAGGAUUGGUAACGAUAGACCGCAUGAUGGCUUAUAUAUGUUGGAAGGGAAUCUGGGUUUGAAUUCACCAUGAGCUCUUUUUGGAAGAAAUCAGGAUAUCAACCAGGAAAUUAUACAGUGACAUCAACGGUUAGAACACCCAUCCUUCUUUGUAUUAGAGAAACUUUAUCUUGAUCUAUUUUCCAAGGCUCAAUGUGGUUCUUUAGUUUGUGAUACUUGUGAGCAUGCUAAGUAUACAAGAACCUCUUAUCCCUCUAGUAAGAGUAGAAGUAUGAUCCCUUCUAUGACCGUCCAUUCUGACAUUUGGGAACCUACUCAAGCAGAAACUCCCAUGAAAGCAAUCACAAGCUACAAGCAGGGAUUGGUGAAUCAGUGGAUAUGGGCAGAUAUAAGAAGUUGGUAGGCAGACUGAUUUAACUUUUGCAUACUCAAUCAAACAUAGCAUAUGCAAUCAGCUUAGUUAGUCAGUUUAUGCAUGAUCCCUAUAAGUCUCACAUGCAAGCUGUUUUUUACAUUUUGCAAUAGUUGAAGUCUGCUCCUGGAAAAGAUCUCCUAUUCUCUAAACACGGCCAUCUUCGCAUACAUUUAUUCACAGAUGCAGAUUGGGUCAGAUCCCUUGAUGAUAGAAGGUCGACUAAUGGGUACUGUACAGUUAUAGAAGAAAACUUUGUCACUUGGAGAAGCAAAAAAUAAAGUAUUGUUGCUCAAUCAAGUGCUGAGACGGAAUAUAGAGCGAUGACGCAACGUGUUUGUGAACUCCUAUGGUUGCAGAUUGUUGGAGGAAUUGAAACUAUUGGAAAGGGAGAAACUCCUCUUAUACUGUGACAACAAAGUUGUCAUCAGUAUAGCUCACAAUACAAUUCAAUAUGAUCGAACGAAGCACAUAGAGAUUGAUCGACACUUCAUUAAAGAGAAGUUAAUAAAUGGUGUAUUGAGGUUAGAUCAUGUGACUUUCAAUCAACAGCUAGCUGAUGUAUUUACCAAAGGGCUCAGCAACAAGACCUAUCAUAUUUUGGUUUGCAAGUUGGGCACGUGUAAUGUCUAUGCACCAACUUGAGGGGAGUGUUGACCAACAUAGAAGGUUCCUAAUUAGGAGGAUUCAAAUCUUUGGAAUCCUAAUUAGGCUUGAUUUAAGGAAUUUUAUUCUUAUUGUAAAUAUUCCUAAUUUAGGUUGAAUCUUUAUGUAUAAGUACUCAAACCUUGUAAAGAUUAAUUCAAUUGGAAUAGAAUAGAAUAAAAAAUUCCUCUCAAAAUUCUUCACCUCUCAUACAUCAUGAAAUAAUUAAUGAGCGGGUAAAGGGGCACUUGUUGACGACCAAGCUCUGGACGCCAAGGCCUUGGCAAAGCCCGGACUAGAAAGACUGGGCCUUAGUUUUAUUAGGGCCCAAUGCAUGGGCCUACUCCUUAUACAAGUCCAGGACUUGCCCCAACAAGCCGGACUGUGCACGAACCUGCACAUGGAGGCCCUGGCCUUGAAUAUCCAUUAGCCCCAUGGGAAAAUAAACCCUGUAAUGCCCAUAAUCAUGUCUAAGUUACACAUCACUAGAAGACAAAAAAAGUGAAUAAAAGAAAACAAAAAGGAGGAACAAGCCAAGCUAUUAAAAUAUACUCUUAACCCUGACCCCUUGUUGGAUCUCAGACAUCAACCGAAAAAGAGCUAUAGUACCUGGCUGCCAAUUUGGGAGAGAGAGAGUGUGACAGGUUGGUCUGUCUACAAGGGCACAAUUUGAGGAAGAUCAAAUCACCUUCUUUAAAUUCGACAUCUCGUCGAUGUUUGUUAGCCUCUUUCACCAUUCUCUGCUAAGCUCUUCUUAAAUUGUAAUUGCCUAAGCAAUUCAUCCCUGGUAACUAGUUCCUAAGCCACUGCUUCCACCUUGGUUUCUCUUGCUAGAUAUUGUUGUAACAUGAGAGGAGGUUUACCAUAAACACUUUCGAAAGGAAUUUUUUUUUUUUUUUUUGUCUGAGCUUUUGAAAGGAGUUAAACCAGCUAAACUGUGAUAGCUUGAAUUAUACCCAUACUCAACCCAAAGAAGCCAUUUGCUCCAAUGGUUGAGUUGUUCGAAAGUAAAGCAACGCAAGUAUAUUUUCAAUCCUCUGUUUAAGACCUCAAUCUACCCAUCUGUCUCCAGGUGGUAAGUCGUGCUCAUUUGUAAAUUAGUACCUUGCAAUCCGAAUAACUCUAACUAGGAAUGACUUAGGAAUAAUGGACCACGAUCACUGAAAAUCGUUCUAGGCAUUCCAUGGAGCUUCACGAUGUCUUUCACAAACACUUCAGGUAGCAUUUUAGCUGAGCAAGGGUGGCAUAAACCCAAGAAGUGGGCAUACUUUGACAGCCUAUCAACCACUACCAAAAUAGCAUCAAUCCCUUGGGAGGGUGGCAAGCCGGUGAUAAAGUGUAUGGAAAUAUCUUCCCAAAUUCUAGAUGGAAUGGGCAAUGGUUAAAGUAAACAUGCAAGUGAAGCAGCUUCAUAUUUACUGCGGUGGCAGAUUAAACAUUCUGACACAUAUUGUUAAACAUCCUUUAUCAUUCCUCGCCAAUAUAAGUUAGAAGCUAAUCGUUUGUAUGUACGAAAAGCCCCAUAAUGCCCACCAGUAGGAGAGGAAUGGAAUUCUGCUAGGAGCUUAGGAAUCCAACCAGAUAAGCUAGUAGAACCACUCUCCCUCUAUAAAAUAGUCUGCCAUGAAUCAGGAUAUAAUUAGCAUUUGAAGAGGGAUUUGAUUGCAGAACUUCAAUAAUUUGCUAUAGGCAUUCAUCUCAACUUCAAUUUGUUCCCAAUCCAACCAAUAAAUAGAAAUAAUAGUGGUGAGUUCCCGAUCCUCAUGGAGUUGAGAUAAGGCAUCAACAGCAUUAUUAGUUUGACUAGGUUUAUAUCUAAUCACGAAGUCAUAACCCAACAAUUUAGCUUCCCAUUCUUAUUGUGUCAAAGUGUGGAUCUGUUGCUGUAACAAGUGCUUCAAGCUACUAUGAGCAUUCUAUAGACUCUGUACUAUAAAUUUUCAGCCUUGAAAAUGAGCCUCUAAUGAUGAAUAGACAAAACUAAAGCCAUCAUCUCUUUCUCAUAUACAGACUUAGAUAGAUUGGAGGAAGUUAAUGCCUUACUGUAAAAAGCGAUUGGUCUCUUAUCCUGCAUCAACACCGCUUCCUGAGGCAUCACAUUCCACCACAAAAACUUUACUAAAGUCCGAAGUAGCCAACACUGGAGAAGUCACCAGAGCCUGCUUCAGUGUUUUGAAUGCUGCGUCAGCCUUUUUGGUCCAAAUAAGUUUCCCUUAGUGCUCCUUAAGCAGAUGUGUAAGCGGUUAUGCUAUGUGCCCAUAAUGCUUUAUGAAUCGUCGGUAGUAGCCCAUCAGUUCUAAAAACCCUCAAACACACUUAAGGGAUAUUGGUCGAGGCCAAUUGAGCACACUUGCAGUUAUUGAAGAAUUCAUAGGCAUACCUUGUGCUGAAACAAUGUGAUCGAGAUAUUCGAACAUUGUCAUCCCUAGUCAACUCUUUUUCUGUUUGACCCGAAAUUGCAACUGUGUUAAGAGUUGUAAUACAAUAGUUAAAUGGUGUAGAUGCUCUCAAGUCAAAGAAUCUUAUUGAGAAUAACUUCUUGAUCGUCGAAGUUGGGUAGCUCCAACCUUUUUAAUGGUAAAGUGGAGUCAUCCACCAAGGUAGAACUUACAGAAGUGAUGGGCUGAACGGUGGAGCUGUUCCAAACUAAGGCGUUAUAUUCAAAGUGUCACCUUCCUUUGUAACCCCUUUUCCACGAACCAAGGAAGUCGACAAUGAUUCCAACCUUGCAAACUUUUGAUCUUGUUCUGCUUCCAUCAAUGCUAACUUCUUUUCUUGAUCCAUUUUCAUGGUGGCUAGUAGCUCCUCAAUGCUGCCCAAGUUCCUCUCUAUCACAUCAACUCUUCCUUCCAUUUUAGUUUUCAUCAUGGAUGGGGAGGCAUCCGACAAGUCAAACAAACCAAUUUGAUAAAGUUAGAAACUGGAAAUGAUUUAAACACAAGAAGUGGAGAAGGACUGGUCUUGUAUUAACACCAAGCAAGAGUUUCUCAGUAUAGAUUCCUUCUCUCUAUGUUAAUACAAACAGGGAAAAUAAACCAAGAGAGACUCCUGUUCUAGCUCAUGCUAGCCAGCAAGUAUGCUAAAAAAAAAAAAAAGAAAAUACUCAUGCCUCCAAGUUUCAGUCUACUGUUAUUUAAAUACAAGAGCAUUCUCUGAAGGACAAACCUAUCCCCGAGAAAUCCUCUAACAGCCUAACUAACAAUAUUCCUUCCCAUUUGUCUUUUUCUUCUCAAUAAUUCCAGUUGUCCUGUACUCCAAUAUGUCCUUGAGCCUUCUUUGUUUCCGAAUUUCUUCCUGAGGUAAACAUUCAGCUGCCUUGGGCCUAGACUUACAGCACUCUUGCUAUCAUCUUCCAAUAACUAGAAUGACAAAUAUGAAAGUAUUAACUAUGUCGUUUCAUGGAAAACGGCUUAAACCAACCAGUAGCACAAUCCCAUGACCAGAUUGCGUACUGUAUCACUUUGAUGAUUUUUCUCAUUGUUUCUGGCAUAUAGCACUUCCAGUUGUUGCCAUUAUACCACAUAUUGACAGAAUGCAUAAACUCACACCCCUCAGUAUUAGCAGCAAAUGCCACUACUCAUAAAUCAUCCACUAUCAUAAGAAAUGCUCAAGAAUAAGUUUGGUAAAUUAUCCUUAUUAACAAUCCCGCCAAUCAAUUUAGACCUAUUCUUAUAUGCACCAUGGUUUUAAAAAACAGCCGUUACAUUACCCAAACGUAACGGACAUUAUAUAACGGGUUUUAGAGACCCACUGCCCAUUACUCUGUUACACAACGGCCCCACAUGAGUUGCAAGUGUAACGGUCGUUACGUAAUGGACAGUUACUGACCGCGAAGUAACGGUAACAGUUGUUACCAAUGAUAAAAUUCUUUUAUAUCCUUUCUCUUUUGCCCCUAUUCUCAUCUUUUUUAGUUUUCACAUUUUCCAGCAACUUUAAAGGCAAUAUUUUUCAAGUUUUCUCUUUCCUUUCUCUUUCAAAUUCCAAUAUUCCCUGUAUAUUUCUCAUACAAGCUUAGAUCAAUCAUAAACCACUGCAUUUCCAAGCUUGUUUCUUUUAAAAGAUUAGUUAAAUUUUCUGUAUUUUAUUUUUUAGCUGUUAUUUUUUGUCUUUAUUUUAAUUUUUUAUGAAUUAAAGUGUUAGUUUUGAAUUAAAAAUAUACUUUAAGCUAUUAGUUUACUUGAUCUAUAAAGAUUGCUUUGGUUUUUCUUAUUUUAAACUAUAUGAUGCUUAAUUUAAGUUAAAUAGUCUAUAUUUAAUAUAUUUAUGUUUGUUAUGCAUUUAUAUUACAUUAUUCUGAAUUAAAUCUAAUCAACAUCAUUUCAUUUUAUAACCUUUGCAAAUUGAUUUAAAAAAUUUGAGUAGAGUCAGGCCGUUACCGUUACGUUACAGCUGUUACAGGUCUAUUUCUGUUAGACUGUGACCGUGAUCUAAAACCAUGAUAUGCACUCUCACUAUAGAAUAUAAGAAACAUCUCUACUAGUAUCUUCAUCUUCAAACUUACCAUAAACCAUAAUAAUGGCUCAAAUGUUGAGAGUAGGGGGGACAAAUUGUCUCCCUAUCCAGAGAGAAAGGAAAACAAUACCAAUUAUCAACUUUACCUUUACUAACAAACCAAAUUCAGAAAAUAGUUACCUCAUGACCACAAUAGACUUGAGUAGGCUUUGGCAAUGAACCCAAUGUUUGACACAGCGAUUGAUACAUCUGUUCUGCUGUGCCUUCAAAAAAUUUCCCACAACCAGCAAUAAACUGCAAAUCAACUAAAUUAGAAAUGCCAAUUUUCUUUAAACUGUAUUAUCAGAACUGAAAUAUUAUCUUUAAAGGGAAUUUAGGCUAAUUAAACAAGUGGCGUGAGAACUUGCCACGAGCAGUUGUACCUAGCAAGUUUAUAUUCUACAUAUUUUCCAUACUUUAUCUUCCCUAAAUUUGGAAAGCUCUGAAUACCAAACAAUUUCUUAGAGAUGCUCGCACAAAGCUGAUUACCAUUUGUUGGUCAUAUGAUUAUACCAGAUGACAAGAGGAGAAGAAUUUUUCCUUGCAAAAGCAUUCAUAUUGCUGAUUAAAAUAAGCUUACUUUAGCCUACCACUCACUAGAUGGAUUGACAAGGUAUAUAUGGAAAUUCCCUGUUGACCAGGGUUCCAUUCCCCUUCCCUACCUCAACUAACUAUAAAAAAAAUAAUAAGCUUAAUUUAUAUAUCUAGUUAAAAAAAAUGUUUCAGAUAAAAGACAUAAGAUCUUCCUCUGAACUUACUAGAGUGUCACCAGUGAAAACUGCUGGAUCCUCUCCAUCCUUGCCCGUCACAUAAUAACUGAUGUGUCCUUUGGUGUGACUACCAAAUACCAAAGGAAAGUUGGUUAAUAAGGAAGAAGAUUAAACAAUCAAUUUGUUACUUCUAUGGAUGAAAAGGAUACUCUGAAAAAGAUUGAAAUUAUAACCAAAUAAGCAAGAAUUUUCAGAAGCCUCGGUAGUUUGAGAAAAAUUCAUGUGCAAGAGAACUCAGCCCAUGUUUGUAUUCCUCCACUGAUCAAGUAAAAGUUCAAAUUCAUGAAAUGGGUCCCUAGAAUAUGAUAACCUUUCGAUGUGUAUUAUGCAAGUGAAAAGCUCCAACUACCGUUUUUUCUCCCUCAAGCUAAAUCACUAGAGAAGAACUUAUGGAAAUCCAACUUUUUUCUACACAAAUUUCCCACUAACAGGCCCUCACUUUAUGCAAAGAAGUAGAAGAGAAAUUGCGUAAAAAAGCAUAAAAAUUUAAUCUUGGAAUAGAACUAAUUAGCAGAGGAGGAGUGUCAUGUGAAUAAAUGCAUACCAAGAUGAUGAUGGAGGAAAGGCAAAACUUGCAACGGUAAGGGUAUAAAAGCAUACCAAGGAGUGUGAAGGGCCAAAAUAUUAACGUGAGACCCAAGUUGCAAUUUAUCACCGUUAUCCAAUUGAUGGGUACAACCCUUCACGUUGUCAAAGGAACCACCAUAAACCUGAAGCCCAGGCACCAGCUGCUUCAUCUUCUCAUUCCCCCCUGCAUGAUCCCUACCAAACACAAAAAUCGAAAUGAUCACUUCCUGGGCAGUCGAGAAAAAUUAGAAAUUAAUUAAUCUGAGCAGUACCAGUGAUGAUGAGUGGUGAGAACAAACUUGAGAUGGACUUGGUGCUGAUUAGCAGCUUCAAAAAUCUUAUCCGGCUCGACGGGAUCUACCACUGCCGCUUCUUGAGUGUUCUCAUCGAUAAUCCUGCGUAAAUUUACUAUAAGUCAAAAAUCGAAAUCAGACAAUCAUGAUCUAACAAAUAAAAAUCACUUACAGAUAGGCAAAGUUAUCCUCCAAGCAAGGGACAUGAAAAAUCUUCAUCCUUUUUACUCCAGGACUUCCCACUUACACAGCGAGGAUUCAGAAAGUAGAAAUGGGAUAGUUUGCAAAGUCGUAGCAGCGAAUAAACGUGGGCCAAGUGCUACCUAUAAGCCAAAUGAGUCCUGAACUUUCCGUCAAUCUUAAAAUAAACUUAAUUCAAUCUUUUUUUUUUUUUUUUGAAGAAAUUAAUUCAAUCUUAUUUAUCAGCUAAAAUCUUUAACUUAGAAUAUGUACGAAUAUAAAAUUUCGGUUGUAAUGGACACUAAUCAGAUUCCAUACCAAAUACCGUUAAAGUUUUUAUUUAUUUGUGAAGAUUAAGAUUGAAUUUUUUGUUAGAUUUUAAUAAAAUUAAAUUUUAAAAAUUAAAGUAUUAAAUUUUAAAAAUUAAAGUAUUAAAUUUUAAAAAUAGAAAAAUAAAUUUAUUAAUUAUAUUAUAUUUUAAAAUAAAAAAUAUUUUUUUUCUUAAUUUUUAUUAUAUUUAUUGAGUUUAAAUUUUGAAUUUAUUGAAAUUUUUAUUUAUUUAUAAAAAUUGAAUUUAAAAUUUUUAAUUUGUUACUUUGAUUUGAAAAUUAAAUUUUGUUAAUUUAAUUAUUUCAGAUAGAUUUAUAAAUUUAUAAAAAUUAAAUUUCAAGGCAUUUUAAAAAGGUGAUUCGAUUACUUUUUCUAUUACUAAUUGAUGAUGUGAGAUUCAGAAAAUAGGGUUUUAUAAAGGGUUUGUAAGCUUGGUCUUAGCGGAGGGGGCUCAUCUCCUUUUAUCCUUUUUCUUGAUCUGUCAGUGACGUGUAAUGGCCUCACUGCCAUUGGGCUACCUGUCUCUGCCAUACGGAUACGGUCGUACGAAAAUAUCAUAUAUCUGCUCCAUGCGUAACGGCCAUUUAAUUCUCCCUUUUAUCACACGGGUUAACCGAGCGGUUCGGGACUAGGCCUGUGAUCCUCAUGUUGUUAAGCUUCCAUGCCGGGCUCGGGAAGAGUAGGCUGGGUCUUGAGAAAAGCCCAACCUCAAGGAUGAAUGGGCUGGGCCUUCUCACUCGUGGGACUCCGCAGGUCCUGGACCGGCCCUGUCACUGUGGGCUCGGCCUCUUCCCAGGAUGGUGAAACCCAGAGGUCAUCAAUUGCCCUUUUACCUUCUCAUCAGUUAUUACAUGAAUGAUGGGAGGGUAAACGUCGAGGACCUAUUAUGACCGCGCGACCCGAGAACUUUCCCCCUUAAAACAUUUCUCUUUCCUUGUACUGUUUCAAAAUUCGAAAUUUCUCUACUUUUCCAGAACCCUUGUGCUUCCCUAUGCGCUUUGCUUGCUCUGUCCUUUUGCUCUAACCACUUUCAAGGUACGCUUCUUAUUUCACCAUGGAUAGCCCUAAGCUUCCCGAUGUCUUUGAUCUUGAGUCUAGCGUCACCCCUUCUACUUUAAAAAAUUUCAUUUCUCGGGAGUAUUUGGACACUCCCCUUUAUCAUAUUCGAGCUCCUUACCGGAACGAGAGGAUCAUUCUUCCCGAUCCUCCUCCUCACAGCUUAGUAGACCCCCAGAAAGGUUUUAGUUUAGUCUUUUUUGUCAAACAAUGAGAAUACGGUCUAACCUUCCCCUUUUCUCCUUUCUUCAUUGAGGUCUUCCGGUACUUCGAGAUAACCCCUCGAAUGCUGGCUCCUAAUUCCAUUCUUUUCAUGUGUUCUUUCGAAUCUGUCUGUCUGAGCUAGGAGUUCACACCCACGCGCAUCUCUUUGUUACCUUUUUUAGGCUGGUUAGGGCAAGCCAAAGCUUUUAUUAUUUUGCCCCUCGUGGAGGGCUAUCUAUCUUCUCGGGUCAUAAGGACUCGAUAAAGAGCUGGGUGGAGGCGUUCGCUGUGGUUGAGCUGAAGAAGGACUCCGGGUUGUCUUGGGAAGUGGAGCUCUCAUGGGAGGAUGUCCCUCUAGGCUGCAACGACUUGCCCCAGCUAAGUCUUACCGAGCAGGUCGGGUUCCUUCGACUGACUUCUGUUGAAAGGAAGUAUGAUGUCGAAAAAUGUAUGUUCGUAUCUAGCCUUCAGGGUUGCAGGGCUGCUGGUACUUUAUUUCAUUUAAUAGUUUUGCCUUUUCUUUGUGAUUUUUACUAAGGGUUGUUCUAAUUUAUUUUGGUUUUGGAUCUUUGCAGCUUCCGACGUUAAGAUGGACCAGAUUAAGCCCCCGAAGAACUUCACCUUGUCUCGAGAGAGCAUGAAUGCUGCUUUAGAUGCCCUCCGAGCAGGGCGGUUUGUGUCGGAAGCCACUCAGGAGGUGGCCCAGGUCAUCUCUUCCAGAUCGGCAGGUCGGUCUUCUCAUCCUAUUUCAGCUUCUUCCCGAGCUCCCAAGCCGAGCUCCCAAGGUGUCAAGACCUCUAGGCCCUCCAGCCGCAACAGGUCGAGCUCGAUUCCUCAGUCUUCCCAGGCCCCGAAGUCCCAACAGGUCUCUGUUGUGAGGACGGAGAGGGUUCCCAGUGUUACCGACAGGUCGGUUGAAGAUCCUGGGCAUGUGAGGACGGAUGUUGCCUCAUCUUUAGAGGAUGUCCCUGAAGAAAGAGCCCAAGUCGCUCCGGUUGAUGGGAGAGCUUCAGGUGGUGAAAUGGAGGUUUUAGGAGCUUCCGUAGAGAUUGCCCCCGCUGCUGAGGAUGUUCCUAUGGAGGGGGUCGAGUCCGAGCUAAAAGAUAGCAUUCCUCCCCGAGAGGAGUCCUCAGUUGUCCCUGAGGGUCCUGUCGAGGGGGCCACGAACAAGCGUCCUCCCCUUUCUGAAGCGCCUGCCCCGGCUCCUGUCCCCAAGAGGUCUCGGGCCUCUAGAAGACCAGCUCCAGCCCUGCCUCCUCUAGAAAAAGAAAAAACUCCGGUGGUGCCUCUACUCUCUGCUGCUAACAACGAGAUUCUAAACGCAGAGGACAUCACUCACCAAUCUCCAGCAAGCAUUGUUGCGGAGAUCCUACGGGAGCGGAUGUUUGGCGGGGCUACAGAGGCUUCAGACCCUCGUCUGCUUGCUCUUAUUGGCCUUUUGGCUAGCUCUACUCGAGAGCAAGCAACAUUCCGGUCUCAAACUCGAGGGGAGCUUGGAGACACAAUCAAGUAGAUGCUUCUGAUGGUAAGUUGUUCUUCUUAACUUGGGAAAUUUCUUCUUCAUUUACAUUACCUUAUGCAUUGAUAUUUCCCUCUUUAUGCCAAUUGAUGGGCCUCUUCAUGGAAGUAGACGCCCGCGACGAGUCCACCCGGAGCACAGUGGACCGCCGGAUUGAGGAGGCGCGCCUUGAGAAGAAUUUGGCUGCGACCAGCGAUGCCCGGGGUCACCUGGCUGCAGCCUAGGAGCACUUGAAGACCCUCUGGGAAGAGCUAGCUUACACUUGGGAAGCUGUGGAGAGGGCUGAUAAGAGGGCAGCUGCUGCGGAGGUCCGCCGUGAUGAGGCCUUGGAGCAGCUGUCCUCCUUAGAAGAAGUUCAGAAGGAGAGGGAUGAGGCCAUGAGCCAAAGGGAUGAGGUCCAGCAUCAGCAUGAGUCGCUGAAGGCAGAUUUGGAGGGGGCUUGGACUCGCUACUGUUGGGAAAUCCUGAGAUUAUUGCAACCCAGUUGCGUAGCGGAAAAUAAAAUCUCUGUUGAUUUCCUUUCCCAGAAUCCGAGUGCUUCGUUUAAUUCAAAAGAUGGAUAUGAGACUAACAUGUUAAUCUCAUCAAGAAGAAACAAUGCCGGACUGAUGGUGGUGUCUUUUCAAACGAACACUCUCAAUGGUAUCCACACGAACGUCUUCUAUCCUUUUAGAGUGCUAGCUCUCUCAAAGAUGGAUAGAUUAUGUGCUCCACAAUCUGCAGUUCUAGACUGAGUUUUUUCAAAAACACGUACCUUCCACAAUUCGUAAAAGGGGUAUUUAUAUGUUUCAGUAGUUGUGUUCAUAACCCACUAUCACAAUCUUGCAGAUACUUAAAUAUAUUAUGUGAUAGAAUCCUUUAUCUGUAACAGUUAUAGAUAGACUACAGAUCUUUUAAAUAUUAUUAUCUCAUAAUAAUAAAUGAUUAAUAAUAAUAACACUUUAUUAUUAUUAAAUAUUAAUAAUAAUAACACUUUAUUAUUAUUAUUAAAUAUAUUAAUGAUUAAUAAUAAUAACAUUUAUUAUUAUUAAUUAUAUUAAUGGGCUUUGGGCUAAGCCCAUUAAUAUGACAUAGCACAUCAACAACGUUCUUUUGUGUGUGAUCCAGUCCCACAAGGCCCAUAAGUCAUAAGUGGCCUCUAGUAAGACAUUAUGACUACCCAACUAAUUAUGAGGAUCAAUAGUCCGAUAAAACCUAAUAGAACAUGAAUUAAUCCCUUUGUCACACGAUAUCUAGUUUGAACAUAAGUCAUGGUCAAUGUCAAACUUAUAAAGUUCAAACUGAUGAUUUCUCGAUCUCUAAGUAGACUGAUAAAUUCAAAUGAUAUUGAUCACAUUAUCAAUUCAUUUGAGCACGGUUAUGCAUUUCUCAGUCUCACUUAUCGAGGGGCCCAGAAGAUAUCUCUCUCAUAGAGAGGAACAAAUCCUAUCUUGAUUGUUCAUUAUCCUCUACAUAAUUUCUAUUAUGCUCAAUCAUAACCUUUAUGAUUGUCCGAUUAAAGACAACGUUUGGUUAUGUCAAAACAUAAUAGUCCUUAUGUUUGAAACUAUGACAAUCUCAAGUCAAAGGAUUAAGACAUAACUACUUUGAGAUUCACUUAUGACAAUGACCCAUGUAGUGAUCUCAAUACGGGUCCAUCCAAUACUUUGUUCUCUAACAAGUAUUUAUGAUUAUUGAAUUAUAUCAACAUAUACAUAAUCAUCUCAUGAUUAUCAAUCAAUAAUCAUAUCAGUUAUAUUUUAUUAUUAUCAAUAUAAUAAUAAGUAACCAGGGAUGAUAAUCAUUAUUAUGUAACAUGCAAACAAAUAAUAAUGAUAAAAACCUCUUUUAUUAAUAACCAAAACGACAUACAAAAAGGUACAAGAUAAUGAUUUAGGAUAUAUACACUAAGAAAUUUUCCCUAGGAAAUUGUGGAGGACCUGAACCGAGUAUAUUUCUUGAAGAUAUCUUGUAUUCUUUUAACCUUCAAAACUUUUAAUCCUUAAUUGAAUAAUCUUCACAGAUCCCUUAAGAAUAAAGCUCCGCUACUAAUUGAUAGAGUUUAAUAGAUAAAAAAAAUAGAUAGGGAAUAGAUAAAAGAUGAAGAGAAUAAUAAAAUUUGCUAGAAAAUCUCAUAAACUUUCAUUGAUAGAAAUCAUAUUUAUAUAGGGAAAAUUACUUUGUAGUCCCUGAGGUUUAAUGUAAUUAACACUUCUGUCCCUCUAUUUUGGCAACCCAACACUUAAGUCCCUCACUUUCUUUUCUAUCCAACUUCGUAGUUCUUCCGUCCAAAAUAGCCAUUUGGGACACGUGAAUUGACAAAAUUAACCCUCUUCUUCUUCUUCUUCUUCUUCUUCUUCUUCUUCUUCUUCUUCUUCUUCUUCUUCUUCCCUUUUCUGCAACUUCUUCUUCUUCUUCUUCUUCUUUCUUCUUCUUUCUUCUUCUUCUUCUUCUUCUUCUUCUUCUUCUUCUUCUUCUUCUUUCUUCUUCUUUCUUCUUCUUCUUCUUCUUCUUCUUUCUUCUUCUUUCUUCUUCUUCUUCUUCUUCUUCCUACUCUUUCUGCAGCAGCUUCUUCUUCUUCUUCUUCUUCUUCUUCUUCUUCUUCUGGAAUUUCACAUUGAAAGAAGGGUAUUUUUGGAAAAAAUUAUCACAUCUCACCUUUGACUCUUUGACCAAACGGUUUAAAUGGACGGAAGGACUACGAAUUUGGACGGAAGAGAAAGUGAGGGACUUAAGUGUUGGGUCGCUAAAAUAGAGGGACAGAAGUGUUAAUUACGUUAAACCUCAGGGACUAAAAAGUAAAUUUCCCUAUUUAUAUAUCUAGGAAACUUCAUGAAAAAGUAUAACAUUAAUAACAAACACAAAAAAUGAAUAACAUACUUAGGAAAUAAAAAUAACUUUCAUAUAUCCAAUAAGAAUUUUAGAUAUUUAAUAAACAUUAAAUACUCAAACCUUCUAGAAGAAAUAAUAGAUAAAAAUCUUUAUUUUAACAGUUCCCAAGAGCUUAUUAAUUAAUCUCCCAUCAAAGAUGAUCCUCUUAGUAAUGUAAAAUCAUUACAUGUUAGGAAAAUUUAUAGUGACUAUCAUUGUUAUCCCAACUUUGGUUCCAAAUAACGUUGUAGGUGCCACAUGAAUUGGUGCCAACCUAUAAAUAUCUAGUCAAAUACCAAAAGAAAAGAUAGUCCAAUGCAAUUUUGUCAGGGAGCAAAUAUGAUUUUAAUGGGUGUCGAAAUCACAAAAAUAACCUAUUAAAAAACCAAUAAAUAUGAAUUGUGUAUAGAGUGAAUAUGGUCGAAUCUAUAGGGAAUUGACACUAAGAAUUUCUAAACAAUGAACUAGGAAAAUAAACAAUAAAAGUAAAAAAGGGAGGUUUUUGAUGAUGAGUUAGAAUAAAAAUCAAAGCAAAUAAAGAAAGUGAUGAUCAAAAGAGAAUAAAAUUAAUGCAAGUAAAUUCUAGUUGAAGAUUAGGAUCCCAUUCAGUUUUGGAAAUUAAUCAUAGAAACAAAAAUACUUUUGUUCAUUACAAUAAAUUAGUUAUAGUUAUGGAAGAUGCUCCUCAUAACCAAUCUCUUCUUAAGUGUAAAUUAAGCUUUGAUACCAAUCUGUAACGACUCGAAUUCGGACCGCCACCGGCGCUAGGAUCCAGAUCGACUUAAGGUCGCCGGGACCCGUAGCAAGCCUAACAUACAACCUGUCAUACUUGAUAAAUCUCAUACAUGAUCAUACAUUUACAUAAAAAAUUUUAAACUUUCCAUCUACCAAACUUGACUUGUGCAUGCACCAUAACUAUAAAUAGAAAACCCCACACUAGAGCCCUCAUCAAAUGCUCUAGUUGGGUCAACAUUACAUUAAUCAAGCUUGGUUUACAUCUCAACACAUUAAUAAAAAUAUUUCAUAAUGAUCAUGAACAAAAGGGAUUAACCAUAAACUCUAGGGUCAAGCACAAUACUAAUCCUCAAUACAAUUCUGUACAAUAUCUUACAUUACAUUAUUCUUUCAUGUUCACAACUAACUAUUACAUACACAAACUUUUACUCUUGCUGACUUCCUGGUCUAUCCCGAACCUGCAAACCUGGGGUUAAGGGAAAAGGGUGAGCUACUAGAGCCCAGUGAGCAGAAUAGGAAAACAAUAUAUUAAAAUCCAUGCUUCCAUGAAAUGCAUCACAUCACAAACAAAUCACAUCAAGGAUGGACUUGUCACCAAUAACCCUCUACGUAUCCAUUAGUGCCAGGGGCGUAGAAUGGGCCUCGACCUGGACUUUCUCUUAACAUAACAUAACCAUAACAUAACAUUCCAAUGUGCCAGGGGCGUAGAAUGGGCCUCGACCUGGACUUUCGUACCAUACCAUAUCAUAUCAUAUCAUAUCGAGGGCUAAUGGAUCAUCCAAUAACCAUCCACAUCAACAAUAAUUAAUGCAAUGCAUCAUAUUCGUGAAUUCUAAUGCAAACAACCUAGUAUACAUAUAUCACAUGGCAUUCGUGAUGCAUGAACAUGCUCAAAAUUUAUUUACUUUGAAACAUAAAGAUCCAUUCUACUCACCUCAGGCUGGCUCUGAAAAGACUCUGAAGCAGCUAUCUCACUGCUGGGGUCCUCGGUUCCUCGGAUCCGAACCUACACGGGUGGACUCAAAUGAGGAACCAAACAUACACUAACAUGACUCUAAACAUCUCUCCAAAAACUCCCUAAAACAUCAUAAAAAAUUCAUAGAAAAUAUGCAAAGGAAGGCUGAACAGGGCACUUUCGGGGGCAGGGUUUGGCGGCCGAAAGUCUAUCCAGAGCCGAAAGUCACCAACCUUCGGCGGCCGAAACUUUCCUCCAGAGCCGAAAGUCCAACUUUCGGGGGCAAGUUUAGGCGGCCAAACCACCACCAUAGGCGGGUUCGCGGCCGAACAUGGCUUCGGCAGCCGAACCUGAGUUAUUCCAGAAUGGCAGAACUCAAGCCUCUCUCACACAUUCAGCCAACCAAACCUCUCAACUCAAACCAAAACAUGCAAAAACAUGCAUACACACAUUCUUAAGCAUUUAGGGGCUUAAAACUAACCUAUACCCCAACAACAUCAACAUAGCAACACAUUUAGCACACAUUUCAUCAUUUAACUCACCUAAACCCUAACAUUUUACAACUACUCUAAUCAUGCAUCCAAUAUCCUUCAAACCCCUCAAAACUUACUAAAAACAUAUAAGAAGGGUAGGAUCUACUAUUACCUCUUGAAAAUCGAGAGGGGAGGCGAUCCAAACUCGGAGAUGGGGGGAAAUCGAGCUAUGGGAUCUCCAAGCUUCAAAACUUCAGUUUUGAGCUUAAAAACUUCAAAACAAGAUGAAAGCUUGUCAAAACUUGAAGAGAUUUGAAGGAAAACAUCAAAACUAACCAUGGAAGGGCAUGGACUCACCUUUGCCCGAAAAUGGAGAAGAAAACUCUCCCAUUUUCGGACAUGGGGCCUUUUAUAGGUGGCUGGCCAGACCACCUUCGGAGGCCAAAUGUGCUCCCUAAACUUUACCAUGUUCGGUGGCCGAACAUGAGGUUCGGCGGCCGAACAUGAGGUUCGGCGGCCGAACAUGAGGUUCGGCGGCCGAACAUGAGGUUCGGCGGCCGAACCUGCCUUUCCUUCCUUGGUGCUUCUCUUUCAAAAACUCAAUUUCUUUCUUUGUUAAAACCAUGAAAACAUGUAAAAACAUUUUAUAAAACAUAUUUUAGAAAAACCUAUUUUACCCUUUUAGAGAGUUCCAAUAUCCGAGAUUCCGCCGAAAGGCAGAAAUUCCGAUGCCGGAGUCUAGCCGGGCAUUACAGAGAAGAUCGAGUCAGCCAUGGAUAAAAAUCAUUAUUCUGCCACCUAAGGGGACGGUAACUAAAGCUUCUACCACUAAUUGUGUUAAGAUUCACCUAUGGUAAGCAUGUCGGUAUUGACUAUAUGUAGCCACUACUAAAAACUAAUCUCCUCACCGAUCUAUUAUUGUAUUAGAGAAAACAUUAGAGGAACAACAAAAGCAGCCCUUAUCUUGAAGCUCACUUGCAAUCAGAACUAAAAAAAAAAAAAAAGAAAGAAAAAAAAAAGCAAAAAGAAAACACAAGAAAACAAAACAAAGAAAACAAACUACAAACCCCCCACCCAAAGAGCAGUGAACUUGUAACUAAAAAAAUAAAAAUAUAUAUCCUUAGUGAUAAUAAUAAAUUGUUAUAAAAAAAGUUGGAUGAACAAUAUAAAAUAAAAAUGGUUUAAAAUAAAAAAUAAAUAUGCCACUACCAAUUAGGAGGAGAAUUAAGUGUGCGGAAAUUUUAUAAAAAAAAAUGCUAACUAUUGCAAGCUAUGAAGAACUUAAGUGUAUGAAAAAAAUUUUUAGACCGUAGCCAAAACAUAAUUGCAAAAAUUUAAUUUUUAUUAAGUAUAUAUGUAUAUGUAUUACUGAAAUCGGUGUAGUCGUGCACCCUGCACUCCUAUCUCUUCCUGUGUCACAGGGAAAGGGCAAUCAAGAGAGGUGGGGAAGCCGCUAAACAAUACUGAAAGAGUACGGACUCCAUCAAAGAAAAACGGACCCAAGCAGAGAGAGGUUUUUUUGCGAAGCCAUUCAAGUUGUGUGAUUAAGAUUAGCUACACGUGUUUUUUCAAUUGUCCAUUUGCCCUGGAUUGGUGGAGUUGCUUUGUUUUCGGUCCCAAGCUCUCAAAAUUGUUCUGCGUUAAGGGACUGGUCCCAUAGCCCCUUCCUUUCUGCAGAUGCAGAGAUGAUGGGAAAGAUGUCCACUAUUUUAUGGAAUAUUCGGUACCACAAGAACCUGUUGCUUGUGGCAGGGGAAGAGGCCGAGUAUGGUCUAACAAUUGAUUGCAUCAGCAUUAAAAAAUUGUUGAGAGAUUGGGAGUUAGCGUGCAUGAGGCUUACUUGAGGCAUGAUCAGUUAAGAUAACAUGACUUGGCUUUUUCUAAUUAAAAAUGAUAAAAAAAAGUGUUCAUUAGUUAAUUUAACAUGAAAUGCAGGAUCAACAAGCCCAAUUAAAAAUAAAAACAUAUAGAGUAAAAUUGGUAGAAAGAGUAAAUAUUUGAUAAUGUUACAUAGGCAGAAGUAUAUAUAGUUUUAUUCAAACUCAAAUAAAUUAUAUUAAAGAGAAGAACCGGAUUCUGGUUCUGUUAUAUCCUAUACGUAUCCGACAGAAGCUGAUGCCUUUACAAGCAACCCAAAGAGCACAAAUGGGGAUGAAAAAAAUGGACUGUGAUCAGUAUCCAAAACAUAAACUUGAGAUGGUGGCCACCUGUUUAUCAUUGCCUCUUGUUGCUGAGGUUUGAUGACAUGAUCGUGCAUUGUCUUUAUGUACACACGCUUCACCUUAUCUAUCCCAUUAUCAUCCUCUUCUUUGAACUGGGCUGAUUGUAAUGCUAGGAUUGGUCCUGGCCUCAAAAGCAUCGAAGCUAGGGUCGAAUCCUAUAUAAUAAAGAUGAAGGAGCCAUCAACAAUAAAAGCAGCAGCAACUAAAGGAAUGGAAGAAGGACUAUAUAAUUAAAGAGUUACUGUCUGAUUCCCAGCAAAGGCAUAAAGUCGACAGUGGCAAAUCUUUUUUUCCCCAUAAAAAAGGGAGCGGAGGCUUGUGGGGAAGCAUACACAUCAUAUCAUUGUACACUAGCCAGCUACAAUUAUUAAGCAUGACAUAUAUAUAUAGUCCUGAUUCUCUACAAGUUCAAAUACAAAAAAUAAAUAAACAAACAAAUUAAUAUAUAAAUCUCACCUAUAUAUAUAUAUAUAUAUAUAUAUAUAUAUAUAUAUAUAUAUAUAUAUAUCUUGAAUCCAUAAUGAGCCUAAGAUUUUAUAUAUAUAAAUGCAUAUAUGUAGGCAAACCUCUUGUGGGCUCAUUUGAUAGAUGAUUUGGCGUUGGAAUUCUUUCUUGAUGAUGGCACUGGUAGGAGGCUGAUCGCAUCCCAAUCCAAAUCCCAGCUCAUACACGUCACCAAAUGAGGAUAGGUCAGGAACUCCCUGUCAAUUUCCACAUACAGGCCUAAUUAAGCAUCAACUUUAUCUUAUACAUUAAUUGACCUUGAUACGUCAUUUCCUUUGCUGCUCUCGAUCAAUCAUAGGGAGUAUAAUGGAUAUGCAUGAUAUGAAUUCAAAUAAUGAAGUUGCGAUCAAUAAAUAAAUUUUUAGCUUCAUCUGCUAUCUAAUCUUGGCAUGGAAUCAAACCAAAUGGUGGUGUUGAUGUAUAUUUUACAUCUAACAAGCAUAUAUAUAUAUAUAUAUACACACACACACGGGAGAUUGAUGUGGGGCUCAAAUCCGUAACCUGGGAUCUAGACGAGUUACUUUGUCAUUACAUCAAACCACCCACUAACUAUUCUGAUUUUGUUUUAAUGUGGAAAGGUAACGUAUAUACACAGUCAACUCCAAUGGUUAAUGCCUAACAACCCUUCAAAAUACUUAAUGAAGACAGUUGGAUGCCAUAUAACUCUCUCUCAUCCCCAGCUCACAACAAAAAUGCCCCGAGAAAAGAAAGACCCUCUGUUUCUCUAGCACUAUAAGAGAAAGGAUAGAGUUAAUAUAUAUGUAUCAGCAUAUAUAUGAGUAGUUCAAUAAUUAAACAAGAUUAAAAACAAAAUUAACUCAUGAGAAAGGAAAAUUCCAUCGAAAGAGCUACAAGAAAAUUACAUCUUGUAUAUCUUGAUCCGUCCAAAAACCCAACUUGAGCAUGGUGGCAGCUACAUACACAGCUAAACGGAUCUUCUUUGCCAACUUGUGAGUCGCCUGUGUUAUGCUUAGCCCCCCAGCGCUAUGCCCCACCAAUAUCACCUGUAAAGAUGAAGAGGGAUCGAUUAAUAAUCAUCUAUUCCAAAAGAGUAGACACUUUAAUACAUCAAUAAUUGAAGGACAAGGACCUGCUCAUGAUCAGGCAAGGAAGAUAAGAAGUCCAUGAGAGGCUUAUUAUAUUCAUCAAAAGAGAGGACAGAAUUGGCAUCUGCUUGAUCGAUUCCUGCACCUUUGAGGUCAACACAAGAGACUUUAUAGCCUGAGUUCUCCAUGAGACACCGGAUUUUGUACCAGCACCAACCCCCUCCACUGACUCCAUGCACCAGUACAAAGUGUGGCUUUGGGUUUGAUGAAAAGGUUGUGUCUUCCCUCAUGUGAAUUGCCUCCUCGCCCAUCUGCCCUUCUGAGUUCUGAUUGAUCAAUUGAUCUUUAUUUUUUGCUACUGAAAAUCAAUCACUGUGCUCUUGGAAAUUCAAGUUGGAAUAUAUAUAGAUAGACACAGUUAAUGGAGAGAGUUUGUGUAUUUGUAUUUAUAGUGAUCAAAGAGAGUAAUGAUGAUUGCCUUUAUGUAAUCAUUAUUGGAAGUUUAAAGGAAGGAGAGAUUGAGUUAUGUCUGUAUAGGCUAAACUCCACCUUAAGAAUAUUAAGGUACAUACAGUACAAUCGCGGAGAUGUUUCCUUUUUUUCACAUGAUAUGUACUUGUAUAUGUUACUAUUAAUAUCAAUGGUUCACAUGUUUCCGUCAUCUUUACAUGAUCUCAAUUUGAGGGAGCAUUGCAUGUGAUGUACUCUAUUUGUAUAUAUCCUAUAGCAUUCACACCUGCUGUUAAUUAAUUAAAAAGAGAUCAUGUACGUGUGCGUAUCUUUGGAAAUAGGGAUUUGUCAUUCAACACAAUUACUUGGUCAUUUUAUUUUAUUUUAUUUUGGUGGGUUAGAAAAGAUAAUGAUAUGACGAGUGCAUUUGUCGGGUAUUUCACAAUUUCAUUGCAUUGCAGGCCGACAGUAUCCUCAUUUUAUUAAUUAUUAAAAAGGUCAUACGUCAUAAGGCAUAAAAUUCAUCCAGUUGUAGUUAAAAUUAACAUAAUGGGUAUUCAAAAUUGCUUGUUUAAGCCUCCAAGAACAUAGGUUGUUAACAUUUUGCUCUGGACAUGAUUGAGAAACAGCUACAAAAACCUAUGUACUUGUGAUGCAUAUAUAGACUCCCCUAAAGAUAAAACUUCUGCGCGGGUACAGUUGAUAGUAAAAAUAUAACUGGCAUUAUUAAUGAGUUUAAGUUGUGGUCAGAGUCAAUUGGAACUUAAAAAAAAAAAGAACAAGUGGCACUGGUAGUAACUAUAAAAAUGAGCCCUUGAAUAUGUCAAAAUCUUGAAGGAUGAGUAAUUGACAAUAGCAAGCUGUGGUAAUUAAAUAAAUCAGGGUAUGUGUAUAUAUGCAUUAAGGCCACCAAAAGUGCGGUGAGGUGUGUUGUUUUUCACUUUGUGAAGACUUUAAGCAUUCCACUCAACUGAGCUGGGUUUUAUAUAUUCUUCAUUUUAAUAAUAUACUUGUCAACUAUGUGCAUGUUAGGGUUUGUUUUAGAGGGGGAAAAAUUAAGAAGAAACGUAAUCGUAUUUAAAUAAUAUCAACUUAAAAUUUUAAAAUACAUUAUCUAACAAAUCAUCAAUACAAUAAUUUAAAUUUAAUUUAUCACAUUUACCGUAUUACAUCUGAUUUUCAUCAAUAUUUAUAUCAUAAAAGAUUGGUGUUUUAUUAUAUGUGGAAGAUGAAUAAUCUCCAUUCUUAUUAUUGGUUGUAGAUAUGAAUUUAAAUUUAGAUGUGAAUAUAUAUAUAUAUAUGUCCAUUUCAAGUAGGGUUAUGUUUGUCUGGGAAAUGUCUCUUUCAAUUAAGAAACUAAUAAGCACUAAAAGCCAAAGCAAUUAUAGACAUUUUGAUUUUCAAACUCAAUAAUGGGUAAAUGACUUGUUAGUUUAUGCUAAAUUAAUGGUUAUAUUUGGUUAAUCCACUCACAUAUAAUAAAAGUGGAGGGAUACAUUUGAAAGGGCAUAGUCAAUUCCUUAAUCAAUAGUAGAAUGUCCAAUGCUCUCCAGCAAUGUAACUUCCAUUAUUAUAUACUGAUUUGGGUUUUCCAGGUCAAACACAAUAUACAUGUAUUAUUUUAAUUUAGAAAGAUUUGAGUAGUGAUAAAUUUUUCAGGAAAAGCAAGAAAAAUGGGCUGUAUAGUUGAAGUUGGUAUGAAUAAGAGAAGCUAGGUACGUAUUGGUAGGCCACACAUAAAUGGAAGCCAACCUUGCACAAAAGGUUAAAUGGAAGGCUUCCAUUCACAACAAGUCAAGAGGGAGAGAUCAUAGUGAUUUACAGAAUUAUUUAAGUUGCUUUUUAAAUGUAUACAUGUGUGUGUUUGUGGAUAUCCUUUAAAGUGGUUAAUCCAAUAUAGUCCCUAGUUGGCCAACUUUUUGCUAACUUUGGCCACUAACAAGCAAUACCCCAAAAAGGAUAUAUAUGUGGAUCAUCUUGAUGCUCGUGUAAAAUUCAGACAUUACUUGUCACCUUUCAUGUUCAAAAAAAAAAAAUAAAUAAAAAAAAAUCUUCAGACCAUAUAUAAAAGAAGCCUUUAUUUAUGUUAGCUUUAAAUAAUGAUCAAGCAUAUAUAUACAUGCUCCAGAAAAUCAUUUUCUAAAAGUAUUAAGUUGUGAUCACAUAUAUAGUUAUCUAAUUAAUCACCCAUUCUCGCUCACUGUAUAUUAUGAUAUACAAGUAAAAUAUAAAGUGCAUUUAGUUAUAAAUCAAACUAAUUAAGUUAAGGGUAGUCCAUAAUUCAGUGCCUUUUUUCAAGUAAUUAGAGCCAGCUGAUACAAUUCAUGUUUGUGGGUCAUAAACAAAUUGUAUCAAAGUAUUAAUCCUGUCCUAAAACACACAUCUUUAUAUGAUAUAAUCUGUUUGACCCAUUCAAAUAAAUAGGUCAUAAAUGUCCCAAAUUUAAUAAUAUAUUUAACCUGUUAAUAGUUAGGACUAUAUAAUCAAAUCUCACCAAGCAAUAACUGUAAAGUUUUUUCCCAGAGAAAACAAUAGUAUCUAAAAAAUAAAUAAAUAUAGUAACGACAUAUUUAAAGAAAGAGAUAAUAAUAUGAGAAAUAUUUAAUGAUAGAUUAGCUUUAAAUUUAUAAAAUAUAUUUUUACAAAUUAUUUCAAUAAUAAAAAACUUAUUCAUAUUAAAAGAUAUAAAAUUUACUUAUAAAUUAAGUCAAAAAGUAGGGAGCGUUGGAGCUUUCAAUCUACUGGAGUUAAAUGUGAAAGUCUAAUAUCACUAAAGGUGUAGUUUUACAUAACACUUUUUUUUUUUUAACAAAUUAAAUUACUUAGAAAAGGCACUAAACACAUAAAAAGUUCAUAUUUUUAAUUUCCCUAUUCGUUAUCAUAUCUUAAUAUUCAAGUCUUAAAAUUGGUUUUAUAAGAAUAAACAAUUUUUAAAAUUAAAGAUAUGUACGAAACAUAAGUAAAUAUGUAAUUUGUUUUAUAUGAACAUGUUACCAUGCUCGUCUCUGAAUGGUAUUAUUGGCAUCUAUAUGUAUACUAAUACCCGCUAAAAAAAAAAAAAACAAAGAGCAAAUGCAACAUAAAGUGCUUGCAUUUUGAGAAGUACGUAGUAAUUUUGAAAAAAGAGUGAAUUACUAUUAUUAAUCCUAUAUAUAAUUUAUUAAACUUUAACUAUUUAAUUUUUAUUUUUAAAUCAUUUCAUUAAAAUGUCUAAAUAUUUAGUCAAAUCAAACUUUUAGUUUUUAUAUUAAAAAACGUUAAUAAACUUAUUUUUUAAAGUUAAAAUAACUAUAGAUUGAUAUACAUUGGCUGAUCGCUAUGCUAAUUUUUUUCAAGAAUUACAUUAUGAGGACAUUGAAUGUGAUUCUAGAUAAUAUCGGAAUCAAACCAAAAUUUGGUUUUUUCACUUUUAAGAAACAUACUACUUCAAACCAUACCUAGAUUUUGUUUCAACCUUGCUUUGUAAACAAUUUCCACGCAAUUCCAAUUCUUAUUUUGUUUAUGUUAACAUAAAAAUAAUAAGAUGUGAAAAUCUGUCCUCGAACACCGCUGAGUUUACCAAUGUUCGAAAUGAGCAGACUGAUCUCUCCAAAGUCCGAAAUCAACGAGCAGACUUCUUUUUGGCACACGGAACCGCGUUAAGGUCAUUAUUACGCGUGUAGUGGAACUGACAGAUAUGACGCGAGUGAUGGAUAGGGUAUAGGUCAAGCGAUUCAAUAUUUAUUAGCCGAUUGCCCACCAUUAAUGAGCCGCCUGACACAUCUGUCACGACAUGUUAAAGUCCAAUAUAAGUCAGCCAGAAACAUACCAAUAUGAUCGAGUAUAAAUACCCUUGAAUAAACCACAUCAAAGGACAAAUUCUUCGGCCUCAUCAAUACACUAAGCACACUGAUUCCUCUCCAAAUCUCAAUAUCCACGAACUAAAAUUCAGCCUUAUUAACUCUCAACCAUUCAAUUAGAUCUAUUAACUUCUCCCAUGAAUCAAACAUUUGAUCCACGCAUACACAUCUUGUUGUGUCUACCAAAUCUCACGAGUUUAUAUUUUUGUCCUUAAUUUUAGUUUUUAAAAUAUAAAAUUAUAACAUUCUUAUAUUCAUUUUGAAGUAACAAAUUAUUUUAAAUUUAUAACAUUAAAUUAAUAAUAGAAUUAAUAAAAUUAAUACUAAAGUAAUAAUAUCAAUAUAAAAAUAUGUUAUAUAUGAUUUUCACUAAAAAUAUUAUUAUAUCUUCUACAUAUUUUUACUUAAAAAAUACAUGCAUAUUUAACUUUUAAAAUGUAUAUUUCAUAACUAAAUGUAAUUCAAUCAUAUAAUCAAGCAUAGUAGGUAAUUUAAUAUAUUUACAACUGAAAUUAUUUAAAAGUAGAAAAAUAAAAAAUAAUGUUAAAUUGCAUAUUGAAAGACAAAUUAAGUCUUAUAUCUAUAUAUAGUUUAAUUACAUAUAAGAUAGAUAUUAUUUUAUUAAAAUAUAUCGAACAAGUGACGUCAAAUAUAUGUGAUAGGGUAGUUAAACUGCGAUUAGUUAAUCCGCAAGAGAGAAUAUGUGAGGUGGUUGACGUCUAUAGACAGCCACAGCGAUAAUCAAGUCAAUAAACUGAUAGAAUGUGCAAAUGUAAUGAAUUGUUUUGAGCUCAAAAUAAGUGUGUAAGAAUGUGUACUUUGAUCUCUGUGCACAUUUACUUUUAUACUGUAAUAAGAUGGAGUUAGUUAUCGAAUCUCCUGGAAAUCCAAGUAAUACCGACUAAUAGAUAAGAGAUACUGCAUUUGUAGGUAUACUAGAGAGUUGCUAGAUUACAUCCACUAAUGGUAACUUUCUAUAAACACUUGACCUGUUUAGGAGAGGGCGAGUCAUGGUGAAGAACCAAGCGCUACGGUAUUCAGAUUUUUUUUUUUAUGGGUAGCACCAUGUAUCAACUUAUUAGACCCUUAUUACGUGAUCCUAUCUUGUGGUGACAGCUCAUGGCUUAAUUUGAGCAAGUAUUAUGUCGCAUUAGAGGUCUCCCGCUGAUUUUUUAUUUUUUAGAUUUGAAGUUUACAGUUGUUUCUAUGUUCCGAUAUACGUGGCACGCAUGCAUUGGCUCUCCAUACUCAUAUCCUUUUGCUUGCUCUGCGAAUAAAUGUUAAUUGCCUUACUUCUCAAACCGCAUUCAUGCCAACCGCUGUAUAUAAACCUUUCUUCUUCUCCGAUUUUCACUUUUACUCACAUCUGCUUUCUAAUUCUCUAAAAAUACUUGACCUAUCAGUCUCAAAGCUCCCCCUUUUCUAAAGGUAAAUUUUGUUUCCUUUUUCACUUUUCUGAAAGAAAAAUGAAUAUGUCUCCUUCGUCGUCUUCUUCCAGUAGAAGUUCCACCUCGAGUUCUUCCUCUGGUGGCCCCAUCCAUGCUCCUGCUCCCAUCGCCCCAUUAAGGGCGGUUCAUGAAAAUGAGGGUCUUCUAAUGAAUGACAUCUCGUCCGUGCUGACUGAAAAGGAUGUGGAUCGCCUGUACAACCUCUACCAAAUCCCUAGAGACCUUUUUGGGGUUUAUGCUCCAACUUAAACAUUCAUAUGGACGAACAAACUCCUGCUGAGGAAAAAAUCAUGGUCUAUGAAAAACAACUAAAGGCGGGGCUUCGAUUUUCUAUAAAUCCAUUCUUCACUGAAGUCUUGCGGUUUCACAGGCUUGCAGUCACCCAACUACAUCCGAAUAGUUGGAGAAUCCUGGUGGCCUUCCAGUUUCUCUACUUCAACAAUAAUAUUAAGCCGAGUGUAGCGCUUUUCUCCCAAACGUACCAACUGGGUACUAGAAAGAAUGAAGAAUUUUGGUUCUUCAAUAGGAAGAAGCGCCAGACUCUCUUCGACCAAAUACCCUCUUCCCUGAAGCGCUAAAAGAACAAGUUCUUUUUAUUGUGCCACAGGGUAUCUGGGGGUUUUAGGCGACUCCAAACUAACUGAAACCUAUAUAUAGAGCUAAGCAAGGAUGGGGUCCAGCCACGGCGGGACAAGGAAGGGUCUCUAGACUUCCUCUAGAGGAUGAUCUCAACUCAGAGGGUAGACAUGAACGUGGCGGUGAGGAGCACCAUUUUGUCCUAGUAGAGCAAUUACCAGGCAGAACAGGCUCGAUCUUCUCACCUUUGUCCUCAAAACCCUAGGGAAAGCAUAGAGCAUAAUAUUUUUCUUUCCAACUUUUUUCUGUUUUUAGAGCUGCCUCACUUACUCACGUUUUAUUCUGUGUAGAUAUGGCAAGAAAGAAGAACAAGUUCGCUGAGGCGGCUCACACUACUGUAAAAGCAAAGCUACUGCUGAAACAACCGACCCUAUUACUAAACGGGCUCGCUGGGCAGAGGAGAUCAUUGUGCUUCCUCCUUCUCCUCCACCUAUUACCGAGGAAACAAUCCUACUCAGCCUGAGUCUUUUUUUAGGGGCACUCCUGCAGUAGUUCCUAUUCAAGCUGAUCCUUCACAAGAAGAGGUUGGUGCUAGAGCCGCAUGGCCUUGGAGCAUUCAAUGUAUGGCAUUGGCGCUGACUCGGAUGACCUCCCUUCUUGAGGAGCCCCGUCUGUCGGUUCUUGUCACAAAGAACGCUUUGAGCCCCAAGGACCGCCACCUCUUGAAUGAGAUCAAGAUAGACGACCUCUACAACAACAUCAUCCAUUCCACGAUGAAGAGUGCCCUCUAUGCUUUCAUGGCCAAUGAGCAUAACAAAACCUUGAGAUGAGAGUUCGAGGCAUAAGAGACAAACAAAAAUCUCCUACAAGAGGAGUGCUCAAGGUUGAGUGCUCGGGUUGAAGAGAUAGAGAACACCAUGAAGGAGACGCUAGAGUCCAUCGAUAAACUCCAAGCGAACCUGGACAAGGCUAGUACUUCAAAGUUCGCCCUUGAAAAUUGAGCCAAAAUCGUUAAAAACCAAGUGGUCAUACUUUAGCGCCAAGUCCAGGAGCUUCAGGCUCAAGCACAGGAGAAUCAGGCCACCUCCGACAGGAUUGCUGAGUUGGAAGCCGAACUUCAAGAGACGGUGGCCCGGGGAGGGGCAAUGUUCAUUGAAGGCCAAGACUCGAUAAAAAAAGAGUUGGUAAAGCACUUUCCUAUUGAGAAUUUUGCUUGGAUUGAUGACAACUUUCUAGAGGAGGAGGAAGAUGAGCAAAAGGAGGAGCAGACUAAAGACAACACCACCGACCAGGUCUCUACUGAAAAUACAAUAGACGUAGACAAUAUAAAUGUAAUAGAGGCUCGAAAGGAGGAGACUGAAGAUGUUCCUCCUUCUUUGUAAUUUCCUUUUCAUAAUAAAAAGUUCAUUGUUGUUAUCUAUUUGUUUGUGUUUUUUAUGUUCAAUACUCGACCAAGUAACAAAAUAACCAAAACACUCAUCUUAUUGCUUUUAGAUUAAUCGUCAAUCUAAUGCAUGGGCCUUAAAUACCUUAUAAAAAUCAUUAAUCAGGACUAACACCCGAUCAUUCAGCCUGGCGGUUUCUCACCUUGCAGCAUAGGCUUAAACAACUUGAAAAAAUUAUUAACAGGACUUAACGCCCAGAAAUCAACCUAGUGGUUACUCGUCUCAUGGCCUUAGCUUAAAUAAUUUGGUAAAAUUAUUAAUAAGACUUAAUGCCCAGCAAUCAGCCUUGUGGUUACUCGCCUUGCGGCCUAGGCUUAACAUGCCUUAUAAUUUUGACUAAUCGGGACAACAACCUAGUCAUGAGCUUUAAAUACUUUCAAUAAAUGAAACUAACACCAAGUUAUGAACCUAGUAGAUAUCUACCUUGUGGUCUUAGUAUAAAAUGUCUUGAAUAAUUUUAAUGAUUGGGACUAACACCCAGUCCUUAACCUAACAAAUACCCGCCUUGCGGUCUUAGCAUAAAAUGUAUUGAAUAAUUUUAAUGUUUGUGACUAACACCCAGUUAUCAGCAUGGCAAAUACCCACCUUGUGAUUUUGGCAUAACAUGUCUUAGUUAAUUUUGUUAAUGGGACUAACAUUCGAUCGUCGCCCUGGCAGAUACCCACCUUGUGACUUUGGCAUAAAAUGCUUUAGAUAAUUUUGUUAAUGGGACUAACACUUGGUAAUUAGCCCGGCGGUUACCUGCCUUGUGAUUUUUUCUUGUCUCCACACUUUCAUCUGCCCAGCAUUUCUAAUUUAAAUACCAAAAAAAAAAAAUUGAAGAAUACAUCAUAGUUUUAUUGAUAACAUUUCCAUAAAUUAUAAACUUCUUUUAAGAAUAAUUAAAAGACUUGAUUAUCUAACUUGACCAAUUUAUAAACACCAGGACGAAUGACCUUAGGAACUUUAAGGUCCUUCUCAGUUCUCAUCCAACUCACUAGUCUCAACACCCCCAUUUUUACCAUACUCCAUAUUUAAAAACUCGGACUUUGACUCAAGAGAUGAAUAUUUGUGACAUUCUAUUUCUGUAGAUCCUUGUUGCCACUUGAUCCUUCUGCAAUUACGUGAAUAACCCCUACGAGUUCAUUUUCAUCAAGAUUGACUGGCGCUCUUACCUCAGGUUUUGACCUCUUUUUUUAUCUGUCUGUUAUAGGAAAAUUUCGAAGCAUGUCGUCCAUUAUCAGUCUCUCAAUUUUAUCUUUUAGCUAUUGGCAUUCUUCUAUAGUAUACCCAUUGUCCUCGUAAAAUUGGUAAUACUUUGUUCUGUCUCGCAUGCCUGACUUAUUCGGGUUAAGCUUGGUGGGCCAUUUGACUUCUUUGCCAGUUUUCUUUAUCUAUAUAAGUAUGUGUGUUUGUGAGUCAUUUAGUGGAGUAUAACUCUUAUACUUACCUUGGUCAUCCCUUCCUCGAGACACUGGAUAAUUCUUGUAGUCUCCUUCAUACCCUUGCCUCUUCGGCUUCUGGGUUUGCUUUUGACUCAUCCUUUUAUCUUCCCUUAGCGCCUGGACUUCAUCAGCUAGCCUUAUAUACUUUUGAGCUUUAUCCAUCAGCUGCUAAUAGGUAGCGGUGGGAUUUUUUAUCCAUGAGUCUAUGAAUUUGAUGUUGCGAGUUUUCUUUUUCAUCACCUUGCAUGCUAUUUCAUGAUUUAGUUCUUCUACCUAUAUCACUUCAGUAUUGAAACAUGAAAUACAACUCCUUAAAGAAUUACUCUCUCCUUGACGGAUCUUCCAUAAGUCAGAGGAGAGUUUUUUAGAAGGAAUACAAGUGACAAAUCUAGAUUUAAACAUCAUAGCAAAUUGAGUAAAUUCAGAAUAGAACCUGGGCUCAGAUGUUGAUACCACUUUUGAGUCAAAUCUAUAAGUGUGGAUGGAAACACUCAGCACAGCACAAAGCCAUUAAUGCCUUGAAGCUGCAUUGUUGUUCUAAAGAUUGUCAGGUGACUCUUCGGGUAUGUUGUUCCAUCAUACUUGUCCAAACUUCACAGCUUGAAUUUAAUAGGGAAGGUUUCGGCUAGGAUCUCCUCGAAUAAGGGUGAGGCAUCAUCCAUGCCAUAGUCCUCCUCUUGCUCCUUCUAGUACCUCUACAUGGUAUGGACCAGCUUCCAGUCGACGUUUUCUGAAGCCUCGUUCGACGGCUCCUCAUCCUCCAGCUUGGCCUUUCCUUUGGAUUGUGUUUGGAUCCCUUCCAUCCGAACCCUUAGGGUAUCGGUGGAAGCUUUCUCCCUUAUUCUGGGAGUCAUAAAUGAGACUUCCUCCUGGGCCUUAUAUUGCUUGGGAGUUGUCUAUAGGUGUUUAAUGUACUGGAGUAUCUGCUUAUUAUUUAAGUUAUUAAGCUCUGCUUUAUUGACCAUAGACGGUGUGUUCUGUCCACUGCCAGAGGUAGAAGAGAUGAUGGCCCUUUUUAUGGGCAGUAAAUUUAGCAGCAGUUCGUGAAUGUUCAACCAUUUGGGAGAAAAGAAGAAAAGUGAACAAGAAACCAGAUUUAAUCUAAAUGAACAAAAAAAUUUAAUGGAGAUAUCUCGGUAAUGGAACCAAAUGAUAUGGCUAAAAAUAGAGUUGAACUGGGAUUGGUCAAUCUACAAAAGAAAAGAUGUGAAGUGGUUGGCACCUAUAGACAGCUACUCUGAUGCUCAAAUCAAUAAAUUAAUAGAAUAGGCAAAUAAAAUGAAUUGUUUUAAGCUCAAAAUGAGUAUGUAAGAAUACGUAUCUUGAUCUUUCUGCACAUUUGCUUUUAUACUGUAAGAAGAUGUAAUUGGUUAUCAAAUCUUCUAGAAAUUCAACUGAUACCGACUAAUGGAUAAGGGAUCCCGCAUUUAUAGGUGUAGUGAAAAUUUGCUAGGUUACAUCUGCAAAUGAUAAUUUUUCAUGAACACUAGACUUACUCAGGAGAGAGUAAGGUUUGGUGAAGCGUUAUGACGUUCGAGUUUUCUUUUCUAUGGUUCGAAAUAAUUAUGUUCAAGUCUUGAUGAAAAUCAAAACUGAAUUGAAACAAUAAAUAUAAGUUUCGAACCAUUCUUACAGUUGCAUUUUUGUAAAGUUUUUGGUGUCGUAUGGUAUAAUGUAUGGGUCGAUUAAGAACUCUAAAAAACUAUACAUAUGUAUUAUUUGAAUUUAUUUAUAUAAAUAAUUAAUUAAAUAUAAAAAUAUAUAAGAUUAUGAUAAUAAAAAAUAAAAUUUUCAAUAUUUUUAUAAAAAUAAAAUUUUAGCAAAAAUUAUUAUUAAAAAGUAUUGCUAUAUAAAUUAUUAAUUAAAAUAUAUAAAUUGAACGAGUUUGACAAAUUUAUGAUAAGAUUUAGUUGAGUUUAGGAUGAUUUAUAUAUUGAAACUAUUAAUUGAGCUCAAUUUUAGAUAUGGAGAUUUUUUGCCGACACCCUACUGUUACAUCUCUACUUGUAGGAUCCACUUCCACUGGUCCAAAUCUUUUUUCUUCCUUCUAUUAUAUGAUCAAUCCACGGUAAUUUAUGUAAAUAAUGGAAUAUCAGUUUAUGUGUAAAAAUUUAAUUUAAUUGAUUUAUAUUUUAAUUUAUAAUGAAAGAAUUAGUUAUUUUUUAAUUUAAAAAAUUCUUUUAUAAAACUCAAAACUAUACAUAAUUUUAUAAUUUUUUUAAAAUUAUAGAAAAAGAUCAUUUUUCAAACUAAAAAUAGAUGAAAAAUUAUUUCGUUAAUAUGUAGAAAAUAUAAAAAUAAUUUAAUAAAUUUUAAAAAAUAGAGAAAUUAUUCUAUUAAUAAUAGUAUUACUCAAAAAUUAAAUAAUAAAUCUUAAAUAAUUGAAAAGUUUGGGUCCAGGUAAUGACCAGAUUUUCUGACAUUUUCAAAUUAGCCAAUAUCCCGCCAAAGUCUACCUUCUUUUUCAAGCGCAAUUAUUGGGUUUCAGUAAUUUACCCAACAGAUCUUUAUCAAUUUUUUUUUAUUUUUUCGUUCUCAGCCUGUAUCUUAAGCAAACAAUCAUCCAGAUUUCAUAGUCAUUUUAAACAAAGAAGAAUUGGUAUAGGAACACCACCUAGCAGCUCUUAGGAUCUGUUCAAAAGGAAAGAAUUUUUGUAUAACAAAUUGAAAUUUUUAUUGAUUGAAAUUAUACAUAGAAUAUUUGACUGUAUAUACACAAAAGAGGAAAUAAAUCCUCUUCUUUGAUUGGCUAUAAAUUCUCUGCUAUCUUUGGUUAUAUACAUUACCUCUGUGCAACAUUCCUUUUUCUCGUUGUAACAGAAUUUUGUGAUGAAUAGAACAAUCAAGAAUAUCCUCUACUUUUAGAAUAUAUUUAUAGUUGGGCUGAACUAUUUGUUUGGACUUAAUCAUAUACUCAUCAUUCUUUUUAUCUUGCCCCAAACUAUUCUUUUGAUCUAAGCCCAUAUAUUUCUUAUCAUCUCUCACAUCCCCUCUCAAACUCAACUCGUGUGAAGACCAUGGAUUGAGUUUUGUACAAAGAGAUGAAUGUCUUAACAUAGUCAUUGGUUUUGUAAACAAAUUUGCUAGCUGAUCAUCAGUGUAAUACCCGGCUAGACUCCGGUAUCGGAAUUUCUACCGUCCGGUGGAAUCUCGGAUGUCGGAAGCCUCUAGUAGGGUAGAAUCAUGUUUUCAUAAAAUAUUUUAAGGUAUUUCAUGGUUUUAAGUAUGAAGAUUUAACGAGUUUUUGCAUGAAAAGUCUUUGGAGGAAAACCCAGGUUCGGCCGCCGAAAGUCAAGUUCGGCCGCCGAACAUACAUGCGUUUUGGAGGCACGUUAGGCCCCCGAAAGCAUGAGUGAGGGAAGUCCAGGUUCGGCCGCCGAAAGUCAAGUUCGGCCGCCGAACAUGGCAUGCGUGCGGAAGCACUUUCGGCCCCCGAACGUGGCCUGGCCAACCACCUAUAAAAGGGUCACUUUGCCGAAAUGGGCGAGCUUUCUCCCAUUUUCGGCCAUAGCUAGCUUCCGACCUCCCUCUCCCCAGAUCUUGUGUUCUUUUUCCAAAUCUCCUCCAUUUUUCUUGAGUUUUCACCUCUCAUUGCAAGUUUUGAGCAUUUAAGACAAGUUUUGGAGCUUUGGGAACCCAGGAGCUCAUUUGCUUGGAUCUCCGAGUUUAGGUCGUCUCUCUCUCGAUCUUCAAGAGGUAAGAGCCGAUCUUAAGCUCAUUAUAUGUUUUAAAUAAGUUUUAUGCAAGAUCUAUGGGGUAGAAAUGCAUGUGUAGGUUUUUAGUGAGUUAUGGAUGAUUUUUGAGUUUAUGCAAAUGUGGCUUGCAAAUGCUUGUGUUUGUGUGUUGUAGUUGGGGUUUAAGGUAGUUUGAGACCCCUAGGAGCUUGUAUGCAUGUUUUGGUUGAGUUAUGUGCAUGUUGGAAGAGUUAGGAGGCAAAUGUGCAUAAAGGAGCCAAGUUUCUGCCCUUUGGCAGAAACCAGGUUCGGCAGCCGAAGGAACUUUCGGCCGCCGAACAUGGCUGAGGAGGCAGGCUAUUCGGCUGCCGAAGUUGCCCCCGAAAAGAGACUUUCGUCUCUGUCUGGGACUUUCGGCCGCCGAAGGUGCCGCCGAACCUGCCUGACUUUCGGCUCUGGAGGGACUUUCGGCCGCCGAAGGUGCCGCCGAAAGUGCCCUGUCCAGCCAUUUCUUGCAUGUUUUUAUGUAGUUGUUUUAUGAUGUUUUAGGGGGUUUUUGGGGAGUAUAUGAGAGUUAUGUUCAUGUAUGUUUGGUCCCUCAUUGGAGUCCACCUGUGUAGGUUCGGACCCGAGGAACCGAGGACCCCAGCAGUGAGCCAGCUGCUACAGAGUUUGUCAGAGCUAGCCAGAGGUGAGUGGAAGAAACCUUAAGUUUUAAAAUAAAUGAAAUAUGAAUUUUGAGCAUGAUCCAUGCAUCAUGAAUGCCAUGAGAUAUAGUAGGUUGUUUGCAUUAGUAUUCACGAAUAUGUUGCAUUGCAUUUAUGAUGUUGAUGUGGAUUGGUUAUUGGAUGAUCCUUUAGUCCUCAUAUGGCAUGAUGAUGUUACGGCAUGAUAUGGUAUGGAAGUCCAGGUUGUACCCAUUCUACGUCCCUGGCACGAUGUAAGAGAAAGUCCAGGUUGUACCCAUUCUACGUCCCUGGCACAUUAGUAUGUUAUGAUAUGUUAUGAUAAGAGAAAGACCGGUUGUACCCAUUCUACGUCCCGGCACAGUUGGACUAUGUAGAGGACUAUUGGUGACAAUACCAUCCGAGAUGUGAUUUGUUGUGAUGUGUUGCAUUACAUAAUGGCAUGAGAUUUUUAAAUAUAUGAUUUCACUAUUCUGCUCACUGGGCUUUGUAGCUCACCCCUCUCCCAUAACCCUAGAUGUGCAGGUACAGGGUAGACCAGGAGGUUAGCCAGAGUUUUGAAGUAUGUGUAUGUAAUAGUUAGAUGGUGGACAUGACAGUUGUACUAUAAUGUAAUGUAAGAGAUUACAGUAUGUUAUGUAAUGAGGUAUAUUGAGGUUAUAGAUGUGCUUGACCCUAUGAGUAUUGUAAUCCCUUGUUGAUGCAUGAUCUUAGAUUUUGAUGAUACUGAUGUUAGCCAACUCAUCUCAUGUUGUAUCGCCCGUUGGGGCAUUGAUGAGAUCCCACAGAGGGAUCACGAUUAUGAUCAUGACUAUGUACACGUAUGUUCAGGUUGAGUUGGAUGUUUUUUAAGGAAAGUUUUAAUUUUUAUGUAUGUUCUUGAUCAUGUAUGGGAUUAAACAGGUUUCCAGGAUGUAUGUUUGGCUUGCUACGGGUCCCGGCGGCCUUAAGUCGACCCGGAUCCUAGCGCCGAUAGCGGUCCGAUUUUCGGGUCGUUACAAUCAGGUGCUGCAUAUUUGACUUCAAUGGCUCCAUCUGCAAUUUUAUCCCUCAAGAAGUGAACAUCGAUUUCGAUAUGCUUUGUUCGUGAAUGGAAAAUAGGAUUCUGUGCAAGAGCUCUAGCACCAUUAUUAUCACACCAUAAGGUAGGUCUAUGUGAAGGAGAGAAACCAAGUUCCUGAAGAAAGGAGGUCAACCAAAUGAGUUCUGUUAAUAAUUGUGAUAACACACAAUAUUCCGCUUCUAUACUAGAUUUAGCUACAACAUUGCUUCUUAGAGCUCCAAUAGCUUAGAUUCCCUAGGAAGACGUAACCUCCAAAAGUCGACUUUUGAUCAUCAAUAGAGCUUGCCCAAUCACAGUCGGUAUAAGCAUUGAUAUGUAAAGGAAGAUUUGAAAGUCUAAACAACAACCCACAGUCAGUUGUUCCACGUAGGUAACAUAGAACUCUCUUUAAAGCAAUCCAAUGGGGCUGAAGAGGAUGAGCUUGAAACUAGCUUAAUUUAUUAACUAUGUAACAAAUGUUAGGAUGGGUGUGACACAGGUACUGUAGACCUCUAAGAAGACUUCAAUACAAAGAUGGAUUAUCAAAUGGAGCUCCAUCAUAAAGAGAUAGUUUUAUACCUAAGGAGAUUGGAGUAAAGCAUGGUUUUUCUAUAGCCAUAUUCGCUUUCACAAGCAAGUCUUCCACAUAUUUCUUUUCUGAAAGAAAGAGACCUAUUUAUGAUCUUUUAACCUCAAAACCUAGGAAGUUGGGAAUAUAUUCCAAUGUCUUCAAGGAAAAUUGGCUGUGUAGUCUCUGAAUAACAGUUUGAAUCAUGUUAAAGUUGUUACCAGUAACUAAAAUGUCAUCAAUAUACACAAGCAACAGAGUUAGGAGUCCAUGUUGUUUGAAGUAAAAGAGUGAAGUAUCACUUUUAGAAUUCUGGAAACCUCAUCUAUUGAGAGUGAGCUUGAGAGUAUGAAACCAAGCUCGUGGAGCUUGUUUUAAUCCAUAUAACGCCUUUGAGAGUUUGCACACAUAGGAUGGAUAUUGCUGAUGCACAAAACCUUGAGGUUGAUUUAUAUAAAUUUCUUCCUAUAAAGCACCAUUUAAAAAUGCGUUGUUCACAUCAAUUUGCUUAAUAUCCCAUCCAAAAGAAACAAGUGAUAGAAUGACCUUUAUAGAUGAUGCUUUAACAGCUGAAGAAUAGGUUUCUUUGAAAUCAAUCCCUAGGUUCUGAUUGAACCCCUUGGCAACAAGUCUGGCUUUGUAUUUUGGUAUGGAGCUAUCUGGAUUGUAUUUAUAUGAAAUACGCACUUUGUUCCCAACACAUUAAAAUGGGGCUGACUUGGUACUAACUUCCAUAUUUGAUUUUGAUGCAAUGCUAGCUUUUCUUCUUCCAUAGCCAUUUGCCGUGUAGGAUAUAAUAAAGCUUCUUUUACUGUGGUUGGUUCUUUGUGGGGUGAUGUUACAUCUGUUGAGUAUAGUUUAGGUUUUGAAAUAUCAUCUUUUAAUAUGGUAAUCAUAGGAAGAGUGCUUAUUGUUGUAUAAGUAUGUAGUGAAGGAUGAGAGUGUGGAGGAGAAAUAGAGACAGAUGAAUUUAGAGGAGAAGCUGAGGCAGAUGAAUUUACCUGAUGAUGAAUGUGUUCUGAGUCAUUUUCAAGAGACUGUUGUUGAGGUAGAGAAGCAGAGGGAGAAACCUGUACAAAUCUUAAGAUAGAAAGAGGAAGUGUAGAAGAAGAUGAAUGAGUUGAUUUUGAUAUUUGUUUAGAUGAAAAUAUAAUAGAAAAUAGAUAUUCUGCUUCAUUAAAAAUGACAUGAUGAGAGAUAUAGAUUUGUCCAUUGCUGUUAAGAUAUUUAUAACUUUUAUGCAUAUCACUAUAGCCAAUAAUUACACAUUUGGUGGAAUGAUAGUUUAGCUUGUGAGGAGAAUAAUAUCUUAAGUAUGGGUAACAACUGCAACCAAAAGCUUUUAAAUAUGAGUAGUCAGACUUCUUUUGAUAUGAUUUUUCAAAUAGUGAGACUUGUUGUAGAACUGGACUAGGUAAAGAAUUGAUAAGAAUGGUUGUAGUUGAGAAGGCUUCUAGCCAAAAAGUUAGAGGCAUCUUGAUGUGGGCUAGGAGGGCAAGGCCCAUUUCUGUCACAUGUCUAUGCUUAUAUUUAGAAACACCAUUUUGUUGGCGUGUGCAAGGACAUGUAAACCGUGGUAUAAUACCUUGUUGAGCAAGAAAUGGAAGAAAAGCAUUAUAUUCUCCAUCAUUAUCUAUUUGAAGGGCUUUAAUUGGCAAGUUAAAUUGUCUUUCAACUUUAGUUUUAAAGGUUAUAAAUGUUGAAAGAGUAUCAAAUUUUAGUUUUAAAGGAUAAAGCUAUAAAAAGUGAGAAAAUCCAUCUAUAAAGAUAGUGUAGUAUCUAUGCCCUGCAGAUGAUAAAUACAGUGAGGGGCCCCAAAUAUCUGAAUAUAUAAUCUCUAGAGGUUUAGUGAUAGAUAUAGAAUGAGAUGCAAAUGGUAGUUGAUGAUGUUUACCAAGUUUGCAUGAUUCACAAAACGUGAUUUAAUAAAAAAUGAAAUUUAAAACCUAAUGACUUAGAGGGAAAUGAUAACACUGCAUUAGAAGGGUGUCCGAGCCUGGCAUGCCAUUCAUUAGGAGUGACCAAAGCAGUGAAAAGAGUGUGAGACGUAGAACUAGGAGAAGUUGAUUUAUGUAGAAAAGGGCUAUCAGAUGUUGAGUUAAGACUGUAAAGGCCAUCCCUCAUGAUUCCAUAGACCAGCACUUUCCCUGUAGCUUUGUCCUUGAAAACACAAGAAUUAUUAUAAAUUUCAACAGUUAUGUUAUUGUCUUUGGUUAACUGGAAAAUACUCAGCAAAUUUUUAGUAAUAGAGGAAACAUGUAAAAUAUGAUUGAGUUUAAGAGAGUAAUUAUGAGGAUGUAAAUGAAGCUUAGUAGAUCCAACAUGAGCAAUAGGUAGAAGAGUACCAUUACCAAUAGCCAAUUAGUCUUUGCCAUCAAAAUCUGUACGAAUAGUGAGAUAGUGAGAAUCUGAAGUAAUGUGGUUUAUAUCACCACUAUCAAUAUUCCAAGAGCUGUUUGAGGAGAUUUAUGGAGUAUGAGACUGAGGAUAAGCAAUAUAGGUUUGUGGUGGAGUAGAAGGUCUAGUAGGUGAAAAGGUAGUAGGGUAGUAGUUGUAAGAUGUAUUGUUGGGAGUAGGAUGUCUCCAGAUAAACUAAUUUCCUUGCCAGUUAUAGUCAUAAUAUUUGAAACAUUAUAGAGCAUAGUGGUUUAGCUUUUGACAGAUCAAGCAGAAUAAGCGAACUUUGCCUCCUCUACUAAGGCCUCCAUGACCACUUCUAAAGCUAGAUCGACCACCAUUGGGAGUAGGAGGACGAGUUUGACAAGAAUAUUGAGUAUAUUGAACAAGAGUGAUUGUGGGAGUAGGGAGUAUACCAGAGGUUUGAGCAGACACAUUUAGUUGAUCAAGACGGGUUUCAUGCACCAUUAAUGUAUAUUGUAUAUCUUGAAGGGUUGAAAGUGAUGCAGUAUGUGUUAAGAGAACCACAACAAAAUCAUAUUUGUAAUACCCGGCUAAGCUCCGGCAUCUGAAUUCCAACCUUCCGGCGGAAUCUCCGUUGGAAUCCGGAAUUCCGAGGUCGGAAUCCCUUAGAAGGGUGAAAAUAAAGAUUUUCAUAAAAUGUUUUAAUGUUCUUAUGAUUUUAAUCAAAGAAAGAAAAUUGAGUUUUGAAAGAAAACGCCAUGAAGGAAAAGUCUAGGUUCAGCCGUCGAACAUGGUUGAGUUGCGGAAGCUCUUUUGGCCCCCGAAGGUGGUCUGGCCAGCCACCUAUAAAAGGUCCAUUGUCCGAAAAUGGGCGAGUUUUCUCUCUCCAUUUUCGGGCAUAGGUGAGAUUUAGCCCUUCUAUAGUUGAUUUUAUAUUUUCCUUCAAGUUUUUGAUAAGAUUUUUCCUUGUUUUGAAGAUUUUUGAGCUAAGAUUAAGGUUUUAGAAGUUUGGAGACCUCCAGAGACCUAUUCUCCUAAUCUCCAAGUUUGGAUCGCAUCUCCUCUCGAGCUUUAAGAGGUAAGUGUAGAUCUAUACCUUUUUAUAUGUUUUAAGUAAGUUUUAAGAGGUUUUAAGGGUGUUUAAUGCAUGUUUAGAGUAGAUCUAAAUGUUAGGGUUUAUAUUAGUUUAUUGAUAAAUGUGAUGCUAUGUUGAUGUUUGUUGGGGUUUAGGCUAGUUUUAUGCCCCUAUGUGCUUGAAAAUGUGUUUAUGCAUGUUUUAGAAUAGUUGGAUGCAUGUUGUGGGAGUUUUGGUGGCUUGGGGCAUAAUGGCAGAAUCGGAUUCUGCCCUUCGGGAGAACCCAGGUUCGGCCGCCGAAGCCAGUUUAGGCCGCCGAACCUGCCCGGGGGAGGCAGUUUUGGCCGCCUAAACUCGCCCUCGAAAGUUGGACUUUUGACUCUGGAGGGGAGUUUCGGCCGCCGAACCUGCCCUCAAAAGUUAGUGACUUUUGGGUCUAUGAAGGCUUUCGGCCGCCGAACCUUGCCCCCGAAAGUGCCUGACUUUCGGAUCUGUAGGGACCUUCGGCCGCCUAACCUGCCGCCGAAAGUCCCCUACCUAGCCUUCCUUUGCUUGUUUUCUAUGCAUGUUUUGUGGUGUUUUAGGGGUUUUUUUUAGAGAUGUUUAGAGUAUGUUUGGUCCCUCAUUUGAGUCCACCUGUGUAGGAUUGGACCUAAGGAACCGAGGAGGCCAGCAGUGAGAUUGUUGUUCUAGUGUCAGCCAGAGGUGAGUAGAACUAAACUAUUCUAUUUUAUUCAAAGUAAUCAACUUUUAAGCAUGUUCAUGCAUCAUGAAUACCAUGUUAUGUAAUAGGAUGUUUGCAUUAGAAAUUCACGAAUAUGAUGCAUUGCAUUAUUUACUGUUGAUGUAGAUGGAUAUUGGAUGACCCACUAGCCCUCGAUAUGAUAUGAUAUGAUAUGAUACGGAAAGACCAGGGUUGCCCAUUCUACGCUCCUGGCACGAUGUAAGGGAAAGACUAGGGUUGUCCAUUCUACGCCCCUGGCACAGUUGGACAUGUUAUGUUAUGUUUAAGAGGAAGUCCUGAGGAGCUCCGUUGAAGGCCGGACAUUAGUGAGACAUGUAGAGGGUUACUGAUGACAAAUCCAUCCUUGAUGUAUAUUGUUUGUGCUGUGAUGCAUUUCAUGAAAGCAUAUGUUUAAUUAAAUUAUUUUUACUGUUCUGCUCACUGGGCUUUAGUAGCUCACCCCUUUCCCCUAACCCCCAGGUUUGCAGGAGCACAGGUAGCUGUGGGAGAAUCAUCAGAAUUUUGGUAUAGCAUGAUGUAAUAGAUUAGUGGUGAACAUGUAAUGUAUUGUGGAUUAGUAUUGUGCUUGGCCCUAAUGUCAGUUGUAAUCCCUUUUGUACAUGAUCUUUAUGUAAAUAUUUUUAAUGAUGAGAUAUGAUGAACCUAGCUUGACGUAUGAGAUGUUGACCCUACUAGAGCAUUUGAUGAGGGCUCUAGUACGGGGUUUUUAUGUUUACAGUUAUGAGGCAUGCACAGUCAAGCUUGGUAUAUGAAAAGUUUAAGUUUUUAUGUAAAUGUGUGAUCAUGUAUGGGAUUCUAUCAGGUAUGACAGGUUGUAUGUUAGGCUUGCUACGGGUUCCGGCGACCUUAAGUCGACCUGAAUCCUAGCGCCGAUAACGGUCCGGUUUCUGGGUCGUUACAGAGUGGUAUCAGAGCCCUAGGUUCAUAUGGUCAGACCUAGAGAGUGUCGGGCUCAUAGAUGUUAUAGAAGGGCAAGCACAAUAGGAAAAAUCAUGUCCAUUAGGAUAGGAUGUAGAGUCCUGUCUUGAUAAUGAUGUGAAAUGCCAUGAUUAUAUGCAUGUGCAUUGAUGAUAUGCUAUGUGUGAUGUGGAUUCAUGUGUUUCCGCAUGAACCAUAUUAUGCUAAUGCUAUGUGUUGAAUGUUGUUUUUUCAGAAAACAGAAUGCGAGGCACUCGUCGAUCUGCACGAUUGACUGGAGUCCCACUAGAGAAUGAGGGCAUGGAUGCCCUUCCCCCUGCUCUGCCAAGAGCAAGGUCAAGUAGAUCAAGCAGAGAAGGAAUGUCAAGGGACCCUAGAAGGUCUUUUGAUGUGAAUAGGAGGAGAACGGGUCCAGGUAGGAUGUCAGCAGAUGUGAGGGAAUCUGUGGAUGAUGACCAGAGAAGAGAUGGUAGUUUGGGCAUGAGUAUGUCAGAAGAGGGUACGGGAGAGUCACAAGGAGGCGCUCAGGCCUCGGGGUUUGCUCACACACCCCAGUACCAAUUCUAUCCACAUGGACCAGGGUAUCCGAUGGGAGGUACAUCAGAUUUCUCAAGUUAUAACCCAUACCCUUCCUUCAUGCUUUAUCCUCCCUUUUACCCACCAUAUCUACCGUACCCUAUGUUUCCACCCUCACCCUUCUAUCCAAAUACAGCAAACCCUAACCCAGGGAAUGCUGCACCUCCUCCUCCACCAGCAGAACCAUUAGUCCCUGAAAUCCAAAUACCCAAACCUAGCUCAUCUGUGGAGAGCAAAGUAAAGAUGACAGAUUAUCUAAAGCUGGAUGCUCCUAAGUUCAAAAUAGGAGAUGAUCUGUUUGAGUACCUCAAAACGGUGAAGAUGAUAACAGACGAGCUAGGAGCCAGUGACAGUAGAGCCAUUCAGAUAGCGGGGUUCACAUUGAAAUGUAAGAAAGCAAGAGAGUGGUUUAAAAAUUAUGUGAACCCAAGGCUGGAUAGCCUAUCCUAGGAAGAGUUUGCCAAUGAGUUUGCUGGAUGGGCUUUUCCAGAUAGUUCAAGAGAGCUGAAGGUGAUCGAGUUUGAACAGCUGAGGCAGAUAGAGGACAUGAGUGUUGAUGAGUAUACGGACAGAUUCCUGGAGUUGCUUCAGUUUGUGGGAGAGGCAUAUGAUACGGAUCAGAAGAAAGCCAGGAGGUAUGCUAUGAGACUCCACUCUAGGUAUUCCUCCCUGAUUCUAGCAGCAAAGAGGGAGAGUUUCCACACUAUUGUGAAUGCAGUAAGGAAGAUGGAGGCUAGUGCCAUCAUUUAAGGAACAAUGAAGCAGCAGGUGGCACAACCCUCGGAUUCUAAAACCCCAAGUUCAAGAAAGUUUGAUAUCUCUUCUCUGAAUGCGGCAGUCUCAAGUAGCAAAAAGUGGAAUAGAGCCAAGCCCAAGAAGAACAAGUUCUGGAACCGAUUGAAGUCAGGUCUGGGAUUAGGUGGUGGCUCGAGCUCUGGUUCAGACAGUUCAUGAUGCAUGAGGAGUGGGAAGCCGCACAAGGGGGUCUGUCGAUUUGGGACAACAGCAUGUUUCAGAUGCGGACAGGAGGGGCACAUGGCACGUGAGUGUCCCACUAUGACCUUUUUGGCACAGUCCCAGCAGAUAGCUUCAGGCAGUGUGGCCCAACCAGUAGCUCCAGCCAUGACUCAGGGCAGUGGUCGAGGCAGAGGCAACCUCUUCUUCCGCAGGUUCCCGCGGGGAAGGUCCAUCAGCUCCAGCUCGGAUCUUCACUAUGACUCAGCAGGAGGCUAACAGAUCAAACACCAUGGUGUCAGGUAAUCUUAUCAUUGGAUGUUCUGAUGUGUAUGCUUUAAUGGACCCUGGUGCUUCUCAUUCUUUUGUUACUCCAAGAGCCGUAGAUAGAGUGGGUUUGAUAGCUUCUGGGUUAGAGUGUCCCCUUUGGGUCAAUGGAUCCAAGUGUGAUCCAUCUGUGGCAGAAUCAGUCUGCCGGUUCAGUCUAGUUUUUAUUGAGGGAAGAUGCCUUCCAGCCGACCUUGUGGUUCUAGACUUGACAGAUUUUGAUGUCAUUCUAGGGAUGGAUUGGCUAUCUGCUCAUGGUGCUACCUUGAACUGCAGAGACAAGGUAGUUAGGUUCAGAGGACAGGAUGGAUCAGAGGUUGUCUUCAGAGGAGACAGAAGGGGUACGCCUAGAGGUUUGAUAUCAGCCCUGCAGGCUCGUAGGUUGCUCAGGAGGGGUUGUCAGGGGUUUCUAGCUCAUGUCAGAGAGCUUGAUAGUCAGGUCAGGGAGUCCGCCUCAGUGCUCAUAGUCAGAGAGUUCCUAGAUGUUUUUCCAGACGAGUUGUCAGGUUUACCACCUGCUAGGGAGAUAGAGUUUGAAAUAGAAGUGAUGCCUGGAACCAGACCGAUCUCUAUUCCCCCUACAGGAUGGCACCUGCAGAGCUAAAAGAGUUGAAAGAACAGUUGCAAGAGUUGGUAGAUAAGGGUUUCACCCGACCGAGUACCUCACCUUGGGGGUGCUCCGGUGCUAUUUGUAAAGAAGAAUGAUGGAUCCUCAAGACUUUGUAUCGACUACAGGCAGUUGAACAAAGUCACUACCAAGAACAAGUAUCCUCUACCCAGGAUUGAUGAUCUAUUUGAUCAGCUAGCAAGAGCGGGUUAUUUUUUCAAGAUAGAUCUGAGAUCUGGGUAUCACUAGCUAAGAAUCAGAGAGGAAGAUGUGCCGAAGACGGCAUUCAAGACCAAAUAUGGGCACUAUGAGUUUCUAGUAAUGCCGUUCGGGCUAACCAAUGCCCUUACAGCAUUUAUGGACCUCAUGAACAGAGUUUUUAGCCAGUACCUGGACCACUUUGUUAUUGUUUUCAUUGACGAUAUCUUAGUGUAUUCUACAGAUGCAAAGGAGCAUGCCCAUCAUCUGAGGAUAGUGUUACAGACCCUGAGGGAGCACGGCUUGUAUGCCAAGUUCUCCAAGUGUGAAUUCUGGUUGAGGAGCAUCUCAUUCUUGGGGCAUGUUGUGUCAGAAAAGAGAAUUGAAGUGGACCCCAAGAAAGUAGAAGUUGUAGCUAACUGGCCCAGACCCACUACAGUAAUAGAGAUCAAAAGCUUUUUGGGUUUGGCAGGUUACUGCAGGAGGUUCGUCCAGGACUUCUCCAAAAUUGCCGCUCUUAUGACCAGAUUGACCAAGAAAAAUCAGAGAUUUGUGUGGUCUGAUCAGUGUGAAGAAAGUUUUGAAGAGCUGAAGAAAAGGUUAACGUCAGCACCGGUAUUAGCUCUGCCUACUAGUGAUGAAGAUUUCACGGUAUUUUGUGAUGCAUCCCGUGUGGGACUAGAUUGUGUGUUGAUGCAAAAUGAAAGGGUGAUUGCUUAUGCUUCUAGACAGUUAAAGAAGCAUGAGCUGAAUUAUCCUACACACGACCUAGAGAUGGCAGCUGUAAUCUUUGCGCUCAAGAUGUAGAAGCAUUACCUGUAUGGGGUAAGAUGUGAGAUCUUCACAGAUCAUAAAAGCUUGCAGUACAUCUUGAGUUAGACAAAGUUGAACCUAAUGCAGAAAAGAUGGGUAGAACUGCUCAGUGACUAUGAUUGCAAGAUUCAGUACCAUCCGGGUAAGGCAAAUGUUGUGGCAGAUGCCCUAAGCUGGAAAUCACUUGGCAGUUUAUCCCAUGUUACAGCAAAGAGAAGACCGAUGAUGAGGGAAUUCUACAAGCUCAUUAAUGAAGGGCUGCAGUUAGAGUUGUCUGGUACAGAUGCACUAGUGGCUCAGAUGAGAGUGACACCCGUGUUUCUGGAGCAGGUGGCACAGAAACAACAUGAGGACCCAGAGUUGGUGAAGAUAGCCAGAGCUGUCCAGGCAGGCAAGAAUGAUGAGUUCAGAUUUGACAACAAAGGGAUCCUCCGCUAUGGGAACAGGUUAUGUGUACUAGAUGAUGUAAGUCUGAAGGGAGACAUUAUGAGGGAAGCUCAUAAUGCUAGGUACAGUGUUCACCCUGGAGCCACCAAAAUGUACCAGGAUCUGAAAAGAGUCUAUUGGUAGCCAGCUAUGAAAAGAGAAGUGGCACAGUUCGUGUCUGCCUGUGAGGUAUGUCAGAGGGUGAAGCUGGAACACCAGAAGCCAGCUGGUAUGCUCAACCCACUACCGAUUCCAGAGUGGAAAUGGGAGAAUGUUGCAAUGGAUUUCGUGGUGGGGUUACUGGCAACGUCCAACAGACUAGAUUCCAUAUGGGUGAUUGUUGACAGACUAACCAAAUCUGCUCACUUCAUCCCUAUCAGGAGUGACUAUUCUGUGGACAAAUUGGCACAAGUGUAUGUAGAAGAGUUGUGAGGUUGUAUGGGGCUCUGGUAUCAAUAGUGUCCGAUAGGGAACCCCAAUUCACCUCCAGGUUUUGGCGGAGUCUACACAAUGCUAUGGGCACAAGGCUAGACUUUAGCACUACUUUCCAUCCUCAGACUGACGGACAGUCAGAGAGGACCAUCCGGACUAUAGAAGAUAUGCUCAGAAUGUGUGUGCUAGAUUUUGGCGGUUCUUGGAGGCAGCAUCUACCCUUGGUGGAGUUUGCCUACAAUAAUAGCUAUCAUGCUAGCACCGGGAUGGCUCCUUAUGAAGCUCUUUAUGGGAGGAAGUGCAGGUCACCUGUCUGCUGGGAAGAAGUUGGAGAAAGGGCCUUGGCAGGGCCUGAGUUAGUAGAGAUCACCAGUAGGGUAGUGCCCAUUAUCAGAGAAAGAAUCAGAACUGCUAUGAGUCGGCAGAAGAGUUAUGCAGAUGUCCGCAGGAAGCAUAUAGAGUUUCAGGAGGGAGAUAUGGUGUUGCUCAAGGUGUCUCCUAUGAAAGAGGUGAUUCGUUUUGGGAAGAAAGGUAAGCUAGCUUCACGGUACAUCGGACCCUUUGAGAUCCUGCAAAAGGUUGGGAAUGCAUCGUACAAGUUGGACUUACCUGCUUCCAUGGAGAGAAUCCAUCCGGUUUUCCAUGUUUUCAUGUUACGGAAGUUCGUGUCAAAUCCGGGCAAGGUUCUUAAUGAGCCUGAUGUGGAGAUCCUAGGAGAUCUCACCUAUGUUGAAUAGCCAGUGCGGAUCAUAGACACACAAGUCAGAAAGCUGAGGAACAAGGAAAUCCCGAUGGUGAAGGUCCUUUGGAAUCACCACAGCAUGGAAGAGUGCACCUGGGAGAUACGGGAGUCCAUGCUCCAGCAAUACCCUUAUCUCUUCUAAGGUUAGUGUUUUAUGUUUUUAUGUGUGCUUCCUUGUUGCUUUUGUUUGUUUGUUAAACAUUCGGGGACGAAUGUUCUUAAGGGGGGAAGAAUGUAAUACCCGGCUAAGCUUCGGUAUCUGAAUUCCAACCUUCCGGCGGAAUCUCCAUUGGAAUCCGGAAUUCCGAGGUCGAAAUCCCUUAGAAGGGUAAAAAUAAAGGUUUUCAUAAAAUGUUUUAAUGUUUUUAUGGUUUUAAUCAAAGAAAGAAAAUUGAGUUUUGAAAGAAAACACCAUGGAGGAAAAGUCCAAGUUCGGCCGCCGAACAUGGUUGAGUUGUGGAAGCUCUUUUAGCCCCCGAAGGUGGGCUGGCCAGCCACCUAUAAAAGGCCCCUUGUAUGAAAAUGGGCGAGUUUUCUCUCUCCAUUUUUGGGCAUAGGUGAGAUUUUGCCCUUCUAUGGUUGAUUUUAUAUUUUCCUUCAAGUUUUUUAUAAGAUUUUUCCUUGCUUUGAAGAUUUUUGAGCCAAGAUCAAUGUUUUAGAAGUUUGGAGACCUCCGGAGACCUAUUCUCCUAAUCUCCAAGUUUGGAUCGCAUCUCUUCUCAAUCUUCAAGAGGUAAGUGUAGAUCCAUACCUUUUUAUAUAUUUUAAGUAAGUUUUAAGAGGUUUUAAGGGUGUUUAAUGCAUGUUUAGAGUGUUUAAUGCAUGUUUAGAGUAGAUCUAAAUGUUAGGGUUUAUGUUAGUUUAUUGAUAAAUGUGAUGCUAUGUUGAUGUUUGUUGGGGUUUAGGCUAGUUUUAUUCCCCUAUGCGCUUGAAAAUGUGUUUAUGCAUGUUUUAGAAUAGUUGGAUGCAUGUUGUGGGAGUUUUGGUGGCUUGGGGCAUAAUGGCAGAAUCGUGUUCUGCCCUUCAGGAGAACCCAGGUUCGGCCGCUGAAGCCAGUUUCGACCGCCGAACCUGCCCGGGGGAGGCAGUUUUGGCCGCCUAAACUCGCCCCCGAAAGUUAGACUUUCGGCUCUGGAGGGGAGUUUCGGCCGCCGAACCUUGCCCCCGAAAGUGCCUGACCUUCAGAUCUGUAGGGACCUUUGGCCGCCGAACCUGCCGCCGAAAGUCCCCUGCCCAGCCUUCCUUUGCUUGUUUUCUAUGCAUGUUUUGUGGUGUUUUAGAGGGUUUUUUUUUGGGAGAUGUUUAGAGUAUGUUUGGUCCCUCAUUUGAGUCCACCUGUGUAGGAUCGAACCUGAGGAACCGAGGAGGCCAACAGUGAGAUUGCUGUUCUAGUGUCAGCCAGAGUGAGUAGAACUAAACUAUUCUAUUUUAUUCAAAGUAAUCAACUUUUAAGCAUGUUCAUGCAUCAUGAAUACCAUGUUAUGUAAUAGGAUGUUUGCAUUAGAAAUUCACGAAUAUGAUGCAUUGCAUUAUUUAUUGUUGAUGUGGAUGGAUAUUGGAUGACCCACUAGCCCUCGAUAUGAUAUGAUAUGAUAUGAUAUGAUAUGAUAUGAUAUGAUAUGAUAUGAUAUGAUACGGAAAGACCAUGGUUGCCUAUUCUACGCCCCUGGCACGAUGUAAGGGAAAGACCAUGGUUGCCCACUCUACGCCCCUAGCACAGUUGGACAUGUUAUGUUAUGUUUAAAAGGAAGUCUUAAGCAGCUCCGUCGAGGGCCGGGCAUUAAUUGGACAUGUAGAGGGUUACUGGUGACAAGUCCAUUCUUGAUGUGUAUUGUUUGUGCUGUGAUGCAUUUCAUGAAAGUAUAUGUUUAAUUAAAUUGUUUUUACUGUUCUGCUCACUGGGUUUUAGUAGCUCACCCCUUUCCCCUAACCCCCAGGUUUGCAGGAGUACAGGUAGCUAUGGGAGAAUCAUCAGAGUUUUGGUAUAGCAUGAUGUAAUAGAUUAGUGGUGGACAUGUAAUGUAUUGUGGAUUAGUAUUGUGCUUGGCCCUAAUAUCAGUUGUAAUUCCUUUUGUACAUGAUCUUUAUGUAAAUGUUUUUAAUGAUGAGAUGUGAUGAACCAAGCUUGACAUAUGAGAUGUUGACCCUACUAGAGCAUUUGAUGAGGGCUUUAUUACGGGGUUUUUAUGUUUACAGUUAUGAGGCAUGCACAGGUCAAGUUUGGUAUAUGAAAAGUUUAAGUUUUUAUGUAAAUGUGUGAUCAUGUAUGGGAUUCUAUCAGGUAUGACAGGUUGUAUGUUAGGCUUGCUACGAGUUCUGGCGACCUUAAGUCGACCUGAGUCCUAGCGCCGGUAGCGGUCCGGUUUCUGGGUCGUUACAAUAUUAAUGGCUAAACCCAUUUAACGCACUUAGAAUCAGUUCUUGUUCAGAUACUUUAUGACCAGUAACAAGAAGAGCAUCACCGAUCAUUUUAAUUUGCUGAAAAUAGUCUGAAAUAGAUAACAAAAGAAUGAGAGAUGAUAGUUGUUGUUUUAACUGCAGGGUCCUCACCAUGGAAGUCUAUGCAUACAGCUUCUCAAGGAGAAGCCAUAUCUCAAGUGAUGUAGUGCAGUGAUUCACAAGACCAAUAACUUCCUCACCAAUGAUAGAGAAAAGCCAAUACAACACCAAUUGAUCAGAUCUCCGCCAGACAUGAUAUGCAGGGUUGGGAGAAGGAGUAACAGAUGUAGAAGAAUCAGAGAAAUGGAUAUGGAAUUUUGUAAGUAGAUGAGAUGUAAUCUUCUAGCUCUAAGGCUCUUACAGCAGCCAUGACUUGUACUUUCCAAUUUACGUAGUUUUUCCUAUCAAGCUUGAUAAGGAAAUUAAAAUUCAAUAUUUUGGCUAAUGUAGAAAAAUUGAAAUUUUCAGGUGAGGAGUAAAAAAGAUGCUAUAAUAAUAUAAAAGGAAAGAAUUUUUGUAUAACAAAAUUGAAAUUUUUAUUGAUUGAAAUUAUAUACAGAAUACUUAAUUAUAUAUACACAAAAGAGGCAACAAAUCCAGCUAUGAUUGGCUACAAAUCCUCUACUAUGAUUAGAUGUAUACAACUUAUUAUCUCCGUGCAAUAUUCUUUUUUCUCAUUGUAACAUAAUUCUGUGAUGAAUAAAACAAUCAAGAAUAUCCAAAACUUCUAGAAUAUAUUUGUAGUUGGGCUGAACUAUUCGUCAUUCUUUUUUUAUCUUGACCCAAAUUAUUCUUUUAUCCAAGCCCAUAUAUUUCUUAUCAUCCCUGACGAUCUGGAUAUGUGGCUGCCGGCGGCAUUGUUCCAGGCAUAAAAUCUGCAUUGGAAAUAGAGGGCAUUUCGGUGAAUGCACUCAAAAUUCGGAAAUGAAAAAAAGGCGGCAACUUUGGUACCUCUGCCCAUGAAAACAGGGAGGUAAGCUGGCAUUUCUGUUCCCUCCCUCACACUUUUAUUAUUGUCUCCGCUCUGUUUCUCUCUCCAGGAAAAAAAAAAACCCAUCUUUUUGACUCUUGAUCUAAUAAUUUGGUAAAUCAGGGUCCCAAAAAGAAGUCCUCUCUUGAUUUUUCCUUUUGGAGUCCCAUUUUAGUCCUUCCUUCUGUGAUCUUCCUCCGCUUUUUCAGGUCAGUGAGUUGCUUUUUUCCCUCUCUAAUAUCAUUCCUGGGCGUGUUUGAAUCAUUUCCCAGCUUUUGCUUUUGAUAAUUUUGUUAAGCUCUAUUAAAUUGUUGUUUCAUGUUCAUUAUUCAAAUGUUUCCUGAGAUGAUGAUAUAUAGGACUACCCACUCAACUAUUUUAUGCCUUCACAGUUGGUUGCCUAAUCCUUCAGGUGUUUGUGGGCAUCGAUGCCUUGGUGUUUGGAUGUAAUUGUUCACUUGCCCCAUUCAAAAUAAAAAAAAUUGCAAGUGGUGAAUAGAGAGAAGCAAAUACUAUGUAAUUUAGAUGUUUUUUUUUUUUUUUUGCUAACACACACCAGGAGCUAUUGAUUAUGAGUAAUUGACUAUUAAUAAAGUUGACGCAGGUUUGAUUUUAUUGUUUUGAUCGAGAUAGCAACUUGGACAGUUUUUGCUGUAAAAUCCAAAGAUUAAAUUCUUCUUCUUUGUCUAGUUAACUAUUUUGUUCUUGAUCUGGGAUAUAGCUUUUUUGUGUUCCUACGUUUUGACAUUUCUGCUGACUUCUCUUCUUAAAAUUGAAUGGAAGUAGAUGAGGAUUAUCUUCUCUGCCGUCUUUUUUACUUUUGCAUAAAUCACUUCAGUAGUCUGUUUCAAUUACUUCAGAUCCUUGUCCUAUCAACGUCGUUUCGGAUAUCAAAUUCUGUUUUGUUUAGUUUAUAUAACUUCAUUUGACGAAUAUGUUUUAAAAUAUUCCUCCAUCUUAUAUCAUUCUAAUCAUAAAGAGCUCCAGAAAAUUUCAAAGAUCAACAGCUGCAUUCUAAUCUCUCUUGCAAUACUUGAACUUAGCAACGAUGGAACGGAUGGUUCUCGAUUUGAAAUCCCUUUCUUAUGAUUCUGCGUCAUGUAUUCUUUCCUUGUGUAAUUCUCAUUGCUUUAUACUGUGAUUUAGUGUUCAAAGGACAAUGAAUUGGUUGAUGACAGGGAUGGACCAGGGUGUCAACCUAGUGCUGAAAAUGAUUGAACAGGAUAGUGCAUCUCUAGCAAAGAAAGCUGAAAUUUGCAAACGGAUUAGACCAGAUUUGGUUGAUGAAAUUGAGGAAUUCUAUUGUUUGUAUCGAUCAUUAGCCGAGCGCUAUGACCGUUUGAAUGUGGAGUUAUACAAGAGUACACAAACAGAGUUCCAAUUGCAGGGUGCUGGCAAUGCCCCUGUCACAUCAAUGCUGACUCCUGAACAAAAGCUAGGUUCAUUCAAGACUGGCCGAGUCAAGUCUGUGAGCUCUGGUGGUGCCAGUUCUGAUAUUUCAUCGAAGGGUGGCUCUGACUUGUCAUCAUUAUCGUCAUCAGACUCUGAAUCAGAAUCUUUCAACUCCUAUGGCAAUGCCUACUAUAGCCUCCCCAUGAACACUGAUGAUAACGACCCGCACCACAAGAUUGUUAAGUUGGGGACUGCUCUUCCAAGCAUGGAAGAGAAACUUAAGAUGGAUGUGGAAGAAAAUGGAGAUGGUAUGCUGAAUUCGGAAGAAAAUGAAAGUUAUGAAGAAGUGCGCAGUCAGAUCAUCAGGUACGAGGAAGAGUUGAGAGUUCUGAAGCUAAAAUUGCAGAUCUCAGAAGAGGAAGUUACUGAGUUCAAAAACGAGCUUGCUAAGAGUGAACAUUUUAUGAUACUAACAGAAGCUUUGCAAGCUCAGCUUGAAUCAGCAAAUAGAGAUGCCAAAAUGAGAGAGACUGAUCUUGAAGAAGAGAGAGCAAGAGUGACGACGCUGCAAAAACAAACAGCUGAUGUUAUUCAUGAAUUGAAAGGUCAGCUUAAAUUGUCUCAAGAAGAAAAAAUUAUGUUGAAGGCCAAGCUUGAUUCAGAGAAUAAUCAAGUUUUAAAAUUGCAGGAGAGGUUUUUCCAGUGCAAAAAUGAGUUGUCUGAUCGCGAUGAUAAGGUCAAAGCAUUAAAACUUGCAAUGCUUAAUGCUGAGGAGAAUUUCUUAAUUGAGAAAUCAAAUCUGCAUUCAAAUAUAUCUAGUUUGUCAGAGAGAGAGAACAUGUUGGAGGUAAGGCUCAGGGAACUGGAGUUACAAGGCAAAUCCAUGGAGGAUAAAUUGAGGCAAUGCGAAACUGAGAAAAUGGAAUUGCAACUUUUACAUGACACCCACAGGAUGGGGUUGGAAGCAGAGAGCAGGCAGUUGAAGGUAGAACUUGAUGACAGAAAUGGACGUAUAGAAGCUUUGAAUAAAAACCUUGACAAUCUUAAAUUCAAGUAUGAUAUGCUCGUGGCAGAGAAAGGUGGGCUGAAUGCUAAGGUAAACAAACUUACUGCAGAUGUGAGUUCACAAGACAAACAAAUCGGCCAAAUGAAAGAGCACCUCAGGCGCAUGCAUAUGGAAAAUUUGGAACGCAUUGCUGGUUCUGAAGAGCUGCAAAAGCUAGUAGAUGAGCUAAGAUUGAGAGCAGUGGAGUUAGAGAAGAAGGUGGACAAGCAGAGGGAUGAGCUUUGUGCUGGUGCCGAGGAGAAAAGAGAGGCAAUAAGGCAGCUUUGUUUCUCCUUGGAUCACUAUAGGAGUGGGUAUAAAGAGCUCUGUGAAGCAUUUCUUCAGCAGAAGCGACAUGCAGUCAUGGCUUCCUAAGGUCUCCUUGAUUCUACCGCUGGACUAGUAAGGUUUCUAUAGCUCUUUCAUAUGUUUUAUUUGUGUAUGAAAACAAUUGCUGUGGUGGAAAUUUUUUUCUUGCUGGCAAGUUUUGGACCUCAAAGGACGGUUUUCUUUGGCUGUUUAUCAAUUUAGACAUUUGAUGAUAAUCUUGAAAAAUCCUAUUAUAUUUGCACUGUAUUUUGAGGCUUGGAGAUGAAUACAAUUACCUAUUACACUUACGAAAUGGCAUGAGAAGAAAGUUGAAGCUUUUUCUCUUAUUUCUUUUCUUUACAAAAAGAUGUUAAAAUUAACAUCCAGUUAGACCAAUCAAAAUUAUUUAGCUAGAACCAAUUAGUGGCAGUGGAUGGAUCAGAAGAAAGUUUAUGUGAACUUGCUGCAUCAUCUGCUUCAUGUUGAAUAAGGAUGCAUCUAUUGUAACUUCAAAUUGGCCUAACAAUUUUAUACUAAAUAUUUAUAUUUGAAUUCAUACAUUCAUUACAUUUAUACUUUUAAUUAAUUUUAAUAUAAAUAUUUAAUCUAAGUAUCUCCAGCCUUAAGUCAAAAUGAGGAAUGCCCAAUAAGAGAAAUUGAGAAUUCGGGCCUACAAACUGCAGUUAAAUUCCAAGAACGAGAAGGCUUGAGGUGAUGAAUAAUCCCCAUCUCCAAGUGUUUAUUAUGUGCAGGAUAUUUUAUGACUAUUGCUGAAGCUGAUGGCAUAUAUGUAGUCAUUACCAACCGUUUGGUUCCAUAGCAGGCAGAUCAAGUAUCCAUUGAAUCCACAGCUUUGACUACUUUCCAUUGUAAUUUAUAAAACGAAUAACUCUUAUUUUAUUGUUAGAGUUUGCACUAAAUUAAUAAUAAUAAUAAUAAUAAGAGUUAUUUAAAUUUUAAUAGUAAAAAAUAGUGAAAGGUAAAUUAAACAAAAUUAAAUAAAAUUUAUUAUUGACAUAUCGAAUAUAUUUAUUUAAACUAAAAAAAGAACAUUUUUAAAUUUGAAAUAUUAAAACUGACGAGUCGAUUUCAAUUUUGAAUUCAAUUAAAAGCAGCCCGUGGCGCUUAGAUGGGGUGACUGGAUGACCUAUUGACAUGUGGCACAUAACUGUUGGACAGAGUAGCCAAUCCAAUCAAACCCACGUCCCUACUCUUCUUCCGUCCAAGUUCCAUUUCGGUUGACUUGGACUUUUCGCCAUCUACCAAAGCAUUCUGGAAACCCAAUUAUGCAAUCAAAACAAAUAAAUUAAAAGAUGUAUUCUGUUUUCAGUUUGCACUUACUGAAUUGCAUGGGGCUUGAGAAUCUAAACCAAUAAAAUGGACAAAAGAGAAACCCCUUCAAAAUAUGGUCUGUUUCAUUUUUUGCCAUUAUUGUUAAAUAAUAAAACUGAAAACAAAAAUUAAAAUUUCUAAAAUAACCAAUCAAAUCAUUGCAACUGAUUUACCGAACUUAAUAUAUUAAAUUGCUGCCUCUCCCUAGCAAGAAGAGAGAAGCAAGGGAAGGGAUGAAAAAGAAAAGAAGCAGCAUCAAAAUAACGGUCGUGCAAGGGAAUCUGUGAAACAUGUAGCGAAAGCAGAGGUGGGUGAAGGCUUUAAAAUUUAAGCAGCAUCAACCCAUUUAUUCUCGUCGUCUGCAUUUGUCUUCCCCAACAUCACUCAUCCCUUCUCUUACUUGCGUACCUUGGCCUCUUGUCUGUUGACAACUGAAUAACUAACUGUCUUUUUGGCUUUCCACGGUCCAGGGUUGACUGGCCUCACCUCUACGGUCUUUGAAGUCUACCUUAACAGAGAGAUAUAUUGCUUGGUUUCUUUGUCUGUCUGACAUAAAAAGGACCAGUACAUAACAAAUCCAUCAGGGCACUAAAGAAAAAGAGAUGUUCCUGACUGAACUUUACCGUCACGCAAAGAAUUUUCAUUAGUUGCUACCUCAGGUUCUUUGCUAUUUCUCUCUCUCUUUUUUCUCUCAUGUAUGCUUCCCUUCUUUUGCAUUUCAAAAUUCUCCACAAUCUGCAUUGAAUACCACUCGUCUCUUAAAUUCUUAGCUUCUCUCUCGACUCGGCUGGAUUCUCAGAUUGCUCAACAAGUUAAUGGGUAAUUGGACUUUCUAUGAUAGAUUUGAUCUGAUCUCACUAACCCUCCGCACGUUCUUGUUCCUUCUCUAUUUAUUUUUGCUUUAUAUUUCAGGUUUAUGUAAUACUUGCUGGUAAUCUGUCCAUAAUAAUAAAAUAUGUAUUAUGCUUGUUCUCUUUUUUGCAGUUUCCUUGCUUGCUUAUGUUCUAUAUUCUAUAUCCCGGUUCCACUUUCCUUAGAUGCGUGAAUCUGUGUCCAUUUCCUUCUGUAAAUAGUAAGGCCUAAUAUUUUAGCAUUUUUAAGCUAAGUUUUCAACUUGCUCUUCUUCUUCCUUACUUUGCUCGUCUUUAUUUGCAUCUCCUUCUCAACUUUGACUAUCACUGCAAAUUUGCUCCUUUUUUUUUUUUGGCUCAAAUUGUACAUCAAGGUCUGUUUCCUAAUGUUAUUGAAACUGCUCAAAUAUAUUAAUUAUACGUUAUUAUAAGACAGUCACUCCGUGGUUCAUCCCCUACCCCUUCCGGGUGGGGACAAAUCCUCCUGCCACUCGGAGAUGUGGAUUUCCCUCUCCCACUUCGUGUGGGUGUAAAUAUUCUCUUUUCGAUUUGCAGAUCUAGCUUUAUGGUGAGGGUAUCAAAGGAUCUGCAUUUUUUCUUUUAUGUUCUUGUCUGUGUUUGGUUGUACGUGUCCUUGGUGUUGCGGUUCUUGCAUGCAGGUUUUGGGCACUCGGUGAGUUUUCUCCGCCGAGUGCAGCCAUGUAUCGGAUUAAUGGGUCUACUUUUUCUAUGGCGAGCAUCUUUUGGGACGCUCCCAGUGCUCUUGUCAGCCACCCGGUCUCUCAAUGACUAAAAGAGUUAAAAAGCUCUGUUCGCCGCCCGUAGAUCCUCGUGGCUCGGUUCCUCCCUUCCCCAGCUAUAUGCUUAUGUGUUUUCUGGCUCUUUCAGUAGCCCUUCCUCGUGGAGUUGUUUCUUUAAGGAGAAGUGUCUAGCUGUCGUAUGGCAGUCGACUUCUCUGGAUCAUUCUCCUCACGAAAGUUCAGGUUGUGGCAGCACUUGGUUGUGAUGUUCGGGUUGGCUUAGAUUCUUGUUCCAAUCCUAUCCGUUUUUGUUGGGUCACUAGAGUUUGUGGAGUGUUUUUCUUGUGGGCUAGGCUGCUUUUUAUUAGGCUAAUUGUGGGUGGGUCUGCCUAUAUGUAAUGUGUUUAUCUUGUAUUUGUUGGGCUUCUGCCUUCAUUGAAAUCCAACUUAUUUUCGACAAAAAAAAAAUAAUAAACAAUUAAAUUUGACAGGAUUGAGUAACAAGAACUCUAAAUUAAUAAAAUAUUUUUCUUUUCAACGUUUUUUUCCAGCGACAUUUAAAAUGGUAGUUUUAUUGGAAAGCGCUUUUUUAUCCAAAACCUCAACGCGGGCCUAAAUGUUUAGCCAAAUGAUGCUUUACUGUAUUUUAUGUUUUGUCGUUUGAUUCACAUUUCAUAUUCAUCUUUCCAUGUCUGAUUCUUGACAUACAAAAAGGCCAGACUAGCACUGGUUUCCAAAGGUGUCUUGACUCUUCAGUCUUGUGUUAAUGGGGUAUUUCUCAAAUUAUCUAAUUGUGUAGGUGAGUAGUCUCCAAUAAGAAAUGGAGCAUCCUUAACUCUAUUAUCGUUUCUUGUUCUACUGUUGCAUAACAAUAAAAUGACUUCCAAUAAGUUCUGUUGCUGAACAAUUUCUAGAACUUGUUUUUGCUCACUCUACUCCCACAGUUAUGCAGUGAGAUUUUUUCUUAUUGAAGGCGGUUUUCUUCCUUUGUGUAAAUAUGUCUAAUGAGUGCCUAUGUAUUUGUCUGUUUGCAGAAGGUUUAGCCUCAUACUAUAACAAUAAGGAAUUAUUCAAGGUUGAUCCUACUUGGUUUUAGCCAUAUCAAAAUUAGAGACAAAAGCCUACACUUGGAUUGAUUACAUUUAUAUAUUUGGAGGAAAUGGCCAGUGGAACAAGUGCACAGAUUCGACUUGUCAGAUGUCCUAGAUGUAUGAAGAUCCUUCCUGAGUCUCUAGAUAUUCUUGUCUAUGAGUGUGGUGGCUGUGGCACGCGUCUCCAAGGUAAUAGUCUAAUAAGUUUAUGCCGUACAUCAUGGUGAAUUAUUAAGAAAAAAAUUUUGGAUUCUAGACGGUAAGAAGCAAAUAUCCUCUAUUAAUAUCAUGAUGAAGCAAAGACCAGAUGAAAUCUUGUUUAUCUUAGGAAUUCUACAACCGAAAGGGAUUGUUCAUAAUUAAGUCUUGAUCCUUAACUAUGAUGGACCAUAGUUACAACUUAUGUAAUGGUUCAAUGCUAUUAUUUAGGUUUCAUCAGCUCCCUAUAUUUUAUUGAAAGUGCAAUUUGUUAAUCAGUUGUUAAUUAAUCUUGUACCUUAAUACAGCAAAAGAUCGAAAAGAAAAUGCCAAAAGCAGAACAUCUGGAUUACCUGAAAUUGAUGCUUCAGAGAAGGAUAAAUUGGAUCAUGUUGCUGAUACAAAGGAAGAUUGCAGCUUAAGUUAUGAAACUAGUCUUCAUUCUGGAGCGGAAUGCUCCUCGAACCAAAAUAAUGGGAGGGAUCAGAAUGAAUCCAGCAAUGGCAAUGGUGACAAGCUCUCAGGCUUUUACUUACCAAGUGAAAACGAAAACAAUGUAAGCGACCAAAGUGAAUCUGGGGAGUUUGAUAGUGAGCAGCUCGAAGAUGAAAACUCACCAAAUGAUGACAAAAAAAGUGGGACUGACAAGAAUGAUCCCGGGAUUUGUGACAAUCAACAAGACGGAGGCGUAAACUUAUCAGAUGAGGACCACAACAAUGGGAGUCAUCAAAAUGAAUCUCUGACUUGCAAAAUUGAGCAGCAUGAAAUUUCCAAUGAAGAUUUUUCAUCAAAUGAACUUUGUCAUCUUGAAAAUGGGAAGCUGUCCCAGUCUCCAUUGUCAAGAACAAAUUCAGAAGUUGAUGUUAGUGACGAAAGCUUACUAUCAGCAGCAAAGCAAAAGGUAAAAGCAAAAGCAGAAGCAGAAGCAGAAGCAGAUGCUCACAGUGAGAGUAAUUCUACUUUGAGGAGAUCAACCAAAGGGGUGCCGAUUGAUACGAAGGGAAGUAAUUCAAUUGCCACCGCCCAACAUCCAGCAAAAAAAAAUAUUUCACCUGACAUCUUUUCAUCUUCGCCUUAUGAACUUCUGGAGCACCCUCAGGAUAGUCCUAACCACAGGUUUGACUAUGUAAUGUCUAGAGAUGCUUUUGAAAACUCAGAUUUUAUCGACCCCAGCUCUGAGCUCAGUGGUUCUCUUAUAGAUUUGUCCAAAUCGCCCACAACCAGAAGCUCUCGUGCUUAUUAUGAUGAUUGUGCCUCUUCUUAUGAAGGAACUGAUGAUCAAUUGCCUCAUCGACACAAGCAUUCAUCUAAACAUGCUUGUAGGAUUGCAAACUGUGUUGCUUCUGAUGCGAGGCCUAGAAGGGAAGGAUUCCCAAUCAACACCAGCAAUAACGAUGCACAACAUCAUUUCAGGACUUCUGCAUCAAUUCUGCCUGAAAGGAUGCAUUAUGCCAUAAAAUCCAACAAGUUGGAUCGAGAUGAAUUGCUAGAGCCCAUAAGACAUGGCCAUCCAUGUAGAAACUGGAGAAGAUUAGAGAAAGAUGACUAUCUGUCUCAGCGCCCUUUUCACAGGAGGAACUCUCUGGCUAGCUAUGAAAGUGGCAACCCUUCCAAUCACAAUAAGUUCCAUUCAAGCUUUCCAACGCAAGACAAGCCUUUAUACACGGAGCAGGAGAAGAUGAAACUAUUGAGAAUGUUUUAUGAAUUGCAGGAUCAACUUAAUAAAGCAUCUUUGAAUGAUAAAACAAUCGGAAUGGCGGGGAAAGAUGAUGAUAUUCGCAUGAACCACGGUCAUGAGGUCUUCCAGAAGGAAAGUUUCCAUAACUUAAUCUAUCCCAGGUUUUGUGGAAGACUCGGAGAGGAAAGUAAUUGGCCUCAACAGAAAAAAUACUCACGAGUACCUUUCUCAGCAGAGGUAACAACCAGUAGACACCAAGUUGAUCAUUCCUUCUGCUGCUGUCCCCAAGAGUGGAAGUGCACUACACAAUUUCCUCAACCUGGCCUUCAUCAAUAUAAAGGGUUUCCUAGGGUACACUCUCAUCUUGGCCUUUACAAUUCCUAUGGCUCUUGUCCCUCGAGCCCUCAAAGGCACGUGGAUCCUGAGUUUCCUACAUAUAGCCACGGAACAAAAUCUGAUGACCAGAGGCGUAGAAACCAAGAGUUGAAGAGGUCCUUGAGGGAGAAACAUCACUUGGCUAAGCGACACCUCAGGCCCAUAGCAGGUGGAGCCCCUUUCAUAACUUGUUAUUGUUGCUUAAAACAGCUGCAGCUGCCUGCAGAUUUUCUCCUCUUCAAAAGGAGGUGCCAUCAGCUAAAAUGUGGUGCUUGUUCGAAGGUACUCAAUUUCUCACUUCAAGACAGAAUUCAUCUACUUCCAUAUACACCAAGAACUGAAACACCUCCGCCAAGUGAGGUUGACGAGUAUAGUUAUUCUAUUCUUCGGAGAAACUUUACUUCCACUUCUCACAUCAGUGGUCCCUAUACGGAUUCUGUGUCGUGUUCUGAUGAUUGUAGACUCUCCUCCUACAAAAGUUGCUCCACUGUUAGAGAUCCUGUUCCCCCGAAACCAUUUCAUGCUAUCCAAAAAAACGAAGUUCAAGGAAAUAUGCCACAUGUUUCACCUGAGCAUGGAGAAGAGACAAGGAAGUUUGCUUUGAAUGAAGCUCGAAACAAAGGUAAGAAUCUUGUGCAAACAGAUGAAUCAGCUGGUUCUUCUUCUAGAACGUCCAUAUUAAAGAAAGUAUCAUCAGAAAUUGAAGAGCUGCCAGCAGCAGGAAGAAGAGGAGGGGGGUCACCACUCCAUAGAUUAAUGGGUUAUUCCUCGGCAAGUGAAGUAAUAUAUGGUUAGGGUCCAUCUGUCUCUGCUUACCCAACCAUCAGGAGAUGUAGAGGAACUUAUUAGAGAUAAUCUCGACGAGUGGUUGUUUGUGUUGCUCUCUCUUUCUGGUUUGUUUCAGUUUAAACUGAUUAAAGAAUUUUGUAUGUACAGACAAGUGUUCUACAGAGAAAGUAUGAUUUGUUUAUUUGUAUAGAGUAUUGUUGAAUCCUCUUUAUAAACAGAAUAUUAAAUAUCCUUUUUCCCCUUGUCAUAGCAGUUGAAAGAAGGAUGCCAAAUGUCUUACUACAUCUAUUAUGAUCAUUGCUCGUUUAGCUCAAUUCAACUUUGACCGUCUUAAGGUGCAUUUCAUAAAUUGUGCGGUUCGAUUGUUUGUCAAGUAUGCCGGGCAAAUAUUAUAGUAAGUUCAGCUCCAUACAUCUAAUGAACAAUUCGAGAUAUCUCAAAGCUCGACACAGAAACUAGUGAACAGCUCAAUACAGGUACAAAAUUAACAAAGUUUGAAGAAAACACUGCUCAAAGAACCUGCAUACCACCAUACAAAUAGCUCGUCUACAGCCUACUGUCUAUGGUAACAGGCUGGUAUCUUGAGACUGAAAGGAAUGGGGUCUAGCUCCAUUAAUCCCUUGAAUUCUUAAAUAACUAAAACUUAAAUGGCAUCUUAUUGAAGCAUGUAAAUCCAGCUCAACUGCCUUGUGUUGGCUUGACGCGCUUGCAUCCUAAACUGGAACUAAUUCCACUCUUAAGUCUGGCACCCAUGCAAAUUGCUUUACAUUUGUAUAGUAGAAUCCGGGAUCAAGAACUCGGCCAAUUCACAUUGCCUUCUUACUGUAAUUCAAACAAAGGAUACUCGUAGAAAGGAAUUUCCAACAAUAAAAUUGCAUUCCCUCCAAUGUAGACAAAAUACAAACGUUGCAGAAGUGCAUUCCUAUAUUCCUAUAUCAUAUGAGAAAUUCAUUUCUAAUUUCUCAAGUCUUCCAUGGAUAUAUAUGCGACUCCAGCUUUGGAGUAAUUCUAUGAAUUGUAUUUACACGAGAAAACAAGAGGAAACANNNNNNNNNNNNNNNNNNNNNNNNNNNNNNNNNNNNAAAAAAAAAAAAGCUAUUGGCUGACCAACGAUGCACCUAAAUUUAUGAGAUUCAUUUGAAAUUGUCCCUAUAGCUCCUUCUUUUAUUUGAAACAAUCGUAAUUCUCUGAUCCUGAAGCAUGUUCAUGUUGGGAGCCAACAACCGAGUAUACCGAUCGAAAUACAGAAGCUGUUUCAUAAGAAGCGCAAACUCCCUAGGAAAUCUGAGUCCAUAGGAUUCACUAACACGAAUCUGUUGUACAACAGAAAAGUAACACAUGUUAGAAUUAGCAAUUACCCUCAGGCAGAUGCACCAACUGAUGGAGAAGUUUCAACAAAUUAAGUAGCUCCACCUUUCAACUAAACUCUGCAUUGCUUGUUUUUCGAGUAAUAAGAUAUUUCUCUCAAAAUAAAAAUCUACAAGUUUAUUUAAUUCAUUUAAACUUAACAUGCAUCCCAACCUUAGAUACUCCUUUAUGACCUCAGCUAAGCCACGAAGGCAUCCUCUGAACUUGCAAAACAUUUCAGAUGGAGGCGACAUUUCUCAAACCCCCAGCCGAUCCAAUUGCACUCAAAUUCCACUCAUCACAUCCAUAAUUUCCUAUACCUGGAAUUACUCUCAAAUUUAUAGACAACUCUUGAUUGACUGACUGAGUUGUAUGUCCGCCUAGGUUGUUACAAAUGAAAACUAUGCUAAAGGGAUAAAGAAAAAUCUUUGCUUGGCAAACCUAUUGACAGCUAACAGGCUUUUAAUAAUGUGCAUAUUUUGAAUAAACAAAUCAUGAUACUUGGGUAUAGCAAAUAGUAAAUCCAUGAUGAUUCAACUAAGCCAUGACCAUUUAACUAAUAUAUAGGCAGCACAUAGCCUACCAAUAUUAACAAGUUCAAACUACAUAUUGGCAAAUUCUUUGGACCUAAUUCACAGAAUUGUUUUCCCUCUCAAACAACAAAUUAAAGUAUAUAAUCUUACCACAUCGAGAAAAAGUGCAUUCAUUUGCCUCUCGUCAACUACUACAUUGGCAGAAACAGCAGUUGCAUUUGUAGUAGUAUCUCGUGCUGUUGCAACAACUAUUUCUGUAUCUAAUUCCUGCAUUAGAAGAAGAGUGUUUCAAAGCACUACUCAGAAUAAAUUUGAUGUAUGGGAACGAGCUGAACUAAACUUCAAAAUUAUAGUUGGUGUUUGCCUUUAUUGAUGAAAAUAUCUUUUCCAAGUCUCUUGCAAAGGCAUUAGUAUCAACAUCUUUGUUUGUAGCUCCCAUUUCAAUCAAGGCAGAUGCCAUUGACUCGUAUUCUUCAGAUGCAAUUGAUGUCAAAAACACUUCCAUAGCAGCCCAGGUUUUGGGGGAUAUGCGACCUACUAUUCCUGCAGAAUGGAUUCUUUUUCAGUUGAUAAUUAACAUAGAUAACAGCUGAUUAGGAUUUCCAAAUGAUUAGUAUUUGUUUAUAGAGUCUAGGCUUCAUCUAAGAAAAUCCAAUAGUUACACAUCUAGUGUUCCUAAUCUUUUCUGAGACAGUCCAAAAAUCUAACAGAAAUGGUGCUAAAAAAGUGUCGUUAUCUAUAAUUUUGAAUUAAGGCUUUUCAUUUCAAUCAAUAAUACUUAAUUGUUCUCAAAAGAAAGAUAAAAAUAUAAGAAUUAUCUUCCAUGUUAUUUUACCCAUGGCAUGCAAAUUGUCAGCUGGAAAUUUACAGAAUUCAUGCAACAAUUCAUUGUGAUUUAUGCUAAAUCGAAAUUAUUGUAAUGAUUAUUAUGUUAUUACCAGAGCACAAGGAAUAGCCAUUUUAGCAAGAGUGUUUGCUGAAAAAACAUAAUCAGACAGUCAUGCAUGUGAAAAGGGCAAACUUCUGAAGGUGAAGUCUACUAACAAACUGGUCUAGGCUAGUUAUCAAUACAUAAUUGUUACCAUUGGGAUCCAACAAUGUCCAACCAUUCCACAAGAGUUGAUUACUAUUACAGUUCUUAGAAACUGAAUCAAGAAUGAUCAUAGUCGCAGUGGCAAAAGAAGCUUACCAAAAUCAAGAAAUCCAAUACGACCAUCACGUAAUAACCACAAAUUGCCAGCAUGCACAUCUGCAUGGAAACUUUCACAUGCAAGCAAACUACCAAACCUGCAUAAAAAAUUAAACAUGACCAGAUUUUCAACAUCUUACCAUACAGGAUCUUCAAGAUAAACGUAUGUCUUACCACACAUUAAGGGCUGUGAUAAGACUGGUCUCUGGACUAGAAACAAGAGAACUUAUAGAAUCCAGGUCUGUAAGAGGUACUCCAUACAGCCUUUCCAUGGUAAGAACUCGCCGGCUGCUGCAAUGCUGAUAGACUUUUGGAGCAGUAGCCUGCCUUGUAAGUCCCAUAGCUUCUAAAUAUCUCCUAAAUGACUCAAUAUUUGCAGCUUCCUUAUAAAAAUCAACCUCUUCAAGCAUGGAUUCCCUUAUGUCUUUGACAAUAGCAACCUAACAAAUGGACAUGAAGGAUAUAAAAGAAUUACCUAGUGUUCAUCAGUUAACAAGUAAAGAUAAAAGGAGAUGCAUGUAUCAGGAGAAAACUCUGUAGCAAUGUCCUUUAUGGAAACAACUAAAAUUAGGUUGUCAUAGAAGUCCUAUUACACCAUCAUCUAAAUAAAUAUAAAUGCAUAAUGAAGUUGGAUUAGAAGUUGUUCCAACCACAAUGCAAAUAAGCACAGGAAAAAAAUAUGAACCAGAUAAAAGGCGUAAAAUUUUCUGAAGAAACUGCAGAUAAGUAAUAAAUUCAAAAAAUAAUGAAACAAGUUAACCAUACUAGUGAUGCACGGCUGAGAUCAUGACUUAAGAACUCCAAUAUGCGAGCAACAAUAUACACGAAGUUCAAAUCUGCCACUAGUAUAUCUUCUAUUCCAGGUUUGAGGACCUUUAUAACUACAUCUUCUUGUGAACCUUUGAGCCUUGCCCCAUGAACCUAGACAAUAUAGCCAAUCAGUUUAAUCACAACAUAAAUAUGAUAGAUGAGACUAUAGGAUAUUAUCAAUCAAUCUAACAUCAACCAUCAAAGAUCAACAUGAUAAAUAAGACUCAAAAAAUAUGAGGGGAACCAGCUAGCCGGAGAAACAUAAAACAUUCAGUGGGAAAAGCAGUAUUAAUACCUGUGCUAUAGAGGCUGAGGCAAUUGGCAUUGGGUCAACAUAUUCAUACACACUUUCUAUUGGCCUUCCUAAUUCCUCACGCAAGAUUGCUUGAAUUUCUUGAAAUGGGAUGGCUGGAGCUCUAUCAAAACACUUUUGAAAUUCUUCAACAUAUUCUGGUGGGAACAUUGUUGGUGCAGAUGCUAUGAACUAAAAACAUGCAUGCUAAGAAAGCAUUAGUGAAAUAAUACCUUGGUCAUGUAUAAAACCAAAAUGGAUUAUUUAGUUCAUAAUAUAAAAAGGACGAAUUAGUUAGACAUACGACUUGUAUUAAGCUGCAUCUUAAAACAACAUAACCAGAUUUAUAAAACACAAACAAAUAGGUCUAUGCUCAUGAAGAAACUAAGAUAAGUAAAACUAGGACUUACCUGACCUAAUUUAAUAUAAGUUGCUCCCAUACGCUCAAAUAAUCUCCUCAAGUACAGUGGAGAAAGUAAUCCAAGUUGCAUUUGUGUUGGCAACCCAGUAGAUGAAUUUGCUGACUGCAAUUUUAAAAAUGGUAACAGUAUCAAUCAAUCUAGUAUCAUAAAGACUAAGCAAAGCAAAAAAGUAAAAAAAGAAAAAAAAUAUUAAAUCUAAAACGGUAUCCAUUUUUCCAAUGGAUCAGCACCAAAAGAUUUUCCAGUGAAAUAGUAUCAAAAUCGCAACUCUUAGGGGCCAAAAUAAUCUUGCAUUCUCCAAUCAUGCUUUUGUUUUGUCCUCCCCCCCCACCUUCCCUCAAGUAAAAAACUUCUAAGAUAACCACCACAUUUUUAAUAUAUCCUUACCACGCCAACCAGCCAUCUGUUUCUUAAGUACCCAUCACCACAUGCCAAAGUUUGCUCCAGAGUUCCCAGUGUUCCUUCGAAUUUGUUAGUUAUUACCCAAAUGAGAUCAUAUAUUUCUAAAAAUGAAUGCAUGCAAUUAAUGGCCGCUUUGUCUUUGAUGACCCAACCACACAUAACGCUUAAAGAAUCUUGAGUAUAAUCCACUAAGAUCCAUAAACAAAAUUCAGUCAUCUAGAAUAGGUCAUAGAAGUGGAAACAAUUCAUCUUUUGAAACUAAUUUAACAAAUGCUAUGUGUUGCACCUAUAUAUUAUUCAUUACAAUUAAAAUAGCAUAGCAACAGAGAAAGAAAUAGCAAAAGAUAGGGGUGUAAAUGAACCAAAUUAUCCGUGAGCUAUUCGAUAUUCAACUUAAUAAAAACUCGACCGGACUCACCUCGAUUUCUAAAGUAGCCAGCCAAAUUCGAGCUUAGUUUUUAGGCUCGUUUAGUAAACGAGCCGAGUUUGAGCUCCAUAAUAUUCGGCUCGUUAAGACUCGUGAGCUCAAUUCGUUUUUAAAUUUAUAAGCAUGCUCACGAAUUAGCUCGUGAACAAACUCAAUAAGCAUGUUGAGUUCAAUAUAAUAAGAGAAUAGAGCUCAAAGUUUGGAUCAAUUUUCAUAUGACAAAAAUGAGUUUUCUAAUAUGUUUGAUUACAGUCUUAGAGCAUACAAAUAUUCAAAUCAUUAAGAUUUAAGAGUUUGUUUUCUACAGAUUCGUGAGUUAACUUGUAUAUAUACUUAUUUAACAAAAAUUUUUUAGUUAUAUACUUAUUAAUUUUAAAUUAAAUCUUGCUAUAAUUGUAAAUAAAUUAAACUGUUCCUGAAUUAUUUGAGAUUAGAUCCGAUAAAAACUCGAUUCAUAUUAGCUCGUUUGCUAAACGAACCACACUUGAGCUUAUUAGCAUUCGCCUUGAGUUCGAAAUGAGCAAAACUCGAACUCAAAAAAAUUCUAAUGAACCAAACUUGAGUUUUUCAAAUUUGCUUCUGUAAUACCCGGCUAGACUCCGGUAUCGGAAUUCCUACCGUCCGAUGGAAUCUCGGAUAUCGGAAACCUCUAAAAGGGUAAAACCAUGUUUUUAUAAAAUGUUUUAAUGUAUUUUAUGAUUUUAAGUAAGAAAGAAAUUGAGUUUUGAAUGAAAUAGACCAAGGAGGCAUUUCCAGGUUCGGCCGCCGAACCUCAAGUUCGGCCGCCGAACGUGGGAUAGUUUAGGGGGGGGGGCAUGUUUGGUUUCCGAAAGUGGCUUAGGUUCGGCCGCCGAACCCCAUGUUCGGCCGCCGAACUUGCCUGAGUUUUGGAGGCACCUUAGGCUGCCGAAAGGUGGUUUGGCAGCCCCUAUAUAAGAGCUCCAUGGCCGAAACGGGCGAGAUUUCUCCCCAUUUUCAGCCAACGGUGAGUCCAUGCCCUCCCAUGGUCGUUUUUUAUGUUUUUCCUCCAAUCUUUCAAGUUUUAACAAGUGUUUGCUUGGUUUUUGAAGAUUUGUGAACUUAGAGCAAGUUUUGGAGCUUGGAGACCAAAGAGUGGAUUUCUCCCCAUCUCCAACAAGAAGGGCAAAAUUCAUCACCCCCAACUUCUCCAAGGUUCGGCCGCCGCUCCACCUCCACUUUUGCCACCGCCGGUUCACCUCCUCCCUCCCUUCUCUUGUAUUUUCUGUUUUGGUUCAGCCAUGAGUGGCUGAAACCCUUAAUUCUAGUUGAAAAUUGGUUGAAACAAAACCAUCUUGUGACCUAUUCUUGUCUCCUUGGUCUCUCUUUCUUUUGGGGGAGGUGAUAGAGCAUAUUUUAGUCCUUUUUAUCUUGAUAUGAUUGAUGAUUAUUUACAUAAUUUCUGCUUAAUUUAGUUCUCUUGACAUUGUUUUGCAGAAAAUGGUGUAAAAGGACAUUUUGGAGAAAAUCCUCGUAAAACUACCUUAUUUGGAGCAAAAGGGAGCAAGCCUGCCAAGUUGAAAUCAAGUCAAGCUAAAUAUGGAAAGUUCUAAAUAAGGAAAGUGGUAAAUAUGGAAAGAACAUUCAGCCAAGGCAAUUUGAAAUUCAAAUUUCAAAUCUCCAAGAAGCCUUUUCCUUAUUCAAGAAGCCAUAUCCUAAGCUGCCAUAUAUGGAGAGCCAAAUGAGGAAAGUAUUUUGAAAGUCAAAUCCCCAAGAUUCAUAUUCAGAUUUUGGAUUUCAGGAUCAAGCUUAUUAAGGAAGCCAAAUCCAAAGAUCACAUGUUUCCCACUUCAUGCCUUGCACAUUCAAAAUUCAAAUUGCAAAAGUAGGCUCCACCUUCCUUAAUUGUGAAUGGGCGGCAAGGGGAUGUGAAGAGGCACCUUGGGCAGCAACUUGGACACACUUGGGCAGCAUCUUGAACACCUUGGGCAGCAAUUAAAAGACCAAAGAGCCCAUCCCUUGCAAUUUGAUACAUGCUCCACGUUUUUGCCUUCACACAUGCACAUAAAAGGCACAUAUUGGACCAAGGGCACUUUAGGCAUCCUCUAAAAGAUGCAUGGACAGCCAAGAAACCCUAGGCAGCCUCUCAAGACAUAUUUAAACAUGUAAGCUUAGAUCCUACUUCUCUUGUAUGUUUUAAGCGAGUUUUAUGAAGUUUUAUGGGGUAGAAAUGCAUGUUUAGGUUUUAUUUGAGUUUAUGGGUUUAUGUUGUGUUUAUGAGCAAUGUAUGUUGUAUAUGCAUGUUUGAUGUGUUGUAAUUGGGGUUUAGGAUAGUUUGAGACCCCUAUAUGCUUGUUGGCUUGAGUUGCUUGUUGUAGAAUAGGUAAAUGCAUGAUUGAAUGGUUUGGGAGGUAUUUGUGCAUAUAGGAGGCUGAGUUCUGACCUUUGGAAGAACUCAGGUUCGGCAACCAAAGGAACUUUCGGCCACUAAACCUGCCUGUGGAGGCCAGCCUUUGGCUGCCGAACCCUGCCCCCGAAAGUGGACUUUCGGCUCUGGAAGGGAGUUUCGACCGUCGAAGGUGCCGCCGAACAUGCAUGAGUUUCGUCUCUGGAGAGAACCUUCGGCCGCCGAAAGUGCCGCCGAAGGUGCAUGACUUUCGGCUCUAGAGGGACUUUCGGCCGCCGAACCUGCCGCCGAAAGUGCCCUGUCCAGCCUUCUUUUGCAUGAUUUCCUUGAUUGUUUUAAGGUGUUUUAGGGGGUUUUUGGGGAGUAUCUUUAGAGUCUUAUUCAUGUAUGUUUGGUCCCUCAUUUGAGUCCACCUGUGUAGGUUUGGACCCGAGGAACCGAGGACCCCAGCAGUGAGAUAGCUGCUUCCGAGUCUUGUCAGAGCUAGCCAGAGGUGAGUGGAAUAACUCUAUAUGUUUCAAAGCCAAUAAUAAAAGUUUCAACAUGAUUCAUGCAUCAUAAAUACCAUGUGAUAUGUAUUAGGUUGUUUGCAUUAGAAACCACGAAUAUAUUGCAUUGCAUAUCUUAAUGUUGAUGUGGAUGGAUGUUGGAUGACCCAUUAGUCCUCAGUACAAUGAGAUAUGAUAUAUUAUGAUAUGGAAGUCCAGGCGUGCCUGCACUACACCCCUGGCACAAUGUAAGAGAAAGACCGGGUGUGGCCUGCACUACGCCCCCGGCACAAUUGGAUAUGUAUGAUAUGUUAUGUGUAAGAGAAAGACCAGGUGUGGCCUGCACUACGCCCCUGGCAUGAUUGGAUUAUGUAGAGGGCUAUUAGUGACAAGUUCAUCCUUGAUGUGAAAUGUUUGUGAUGUGAUGCAUUCCAUGAUAUCAUAUGUUUUAAAUACAAUGUUUUAUUAUUCUGCUCACUGGGCUCUAGUAGCUCACCCCACUCCCUUAUCUCCAGGUUUGCAGGUACGGGAUAGACUAGGAGGUCAAGAAGAAUAAAGUUGUGUUAUGUAAUAGUUAGAUGUGGAUAUGAUGAAUUGUAAAGUAUUGAAUAGUUAUGUAAUAAUGAUAUUGAGGAUUAGAAUUGUGCUUGACCCUAUGUGUAUGUUAAUCCCUUUUGAUACAUGAUCUUUCAAAUGUAAUGGUUUAAUGAUGUUUUUAUGUAACCAAGCUUAUAGUAUGUGAUGUUACCCCAUUGGAGCAUAGGAUGAGGGCUCCAGAGUGGGGAUUAUGAUUAUGAGUUGUGCAUGCACAGGGUAAGCUUGGGAACUGAAAGAAAAGUUUAAAUUUUCAUGUAAAAUGUUGAUCAUGUAUGGGAAUAAACAGGUUUACAGGUUGUAUGUUAGGCUUGCUACGGGUCCCGGCGGCCUUAAGCCGAUCUGGAUCCUAGCGCCGGUAGCGGUCCGAUUUUCGGGUCGUUACAGCUUCGACUUGGUUUGUUUACACCCUUAGCAAAAGGAUAACUACAAAACCUCACAACUAGAAAGAGAUGUCUCCAUCCCACUAUAGAACCUCAUAGUCCAUGACAAAACAAAAAAAAAAAAUCCUAAAGCUCUCUUGAUUGUACAUCAGGAGACAUAUCUCCAUGAACUUUUAGGUGUCAAUUGCAUUUUUUUUUUGGGUGAAUGUCAAAAGUGAUCCUCGACUCAUCAAUCAACUAAUAACAAUCCUGAUGCUUCAAGAAAUCCUAUUAAAAAAUACAAGUGAUUGUAAAAAAAGGUCCCUAACCCUUAUUAUACUAUUACA
RNAcentral lists this long non-coding RNA (78534 nucleotides) under Manihot esculenta (cassava). RNAcentral's name for it is "long non-coding RNA (MESC_LNC004305)". The record is from RNAcentral. Lineage: Eukaryota; Viridiplantae; Streptophyta; Magnoliopsida; Malpighiales; Euphorbiaceae.